Molecule: long non-coding RNA, 44613 nt
Filed under: Cucumis sativus (cucumber)
Lineage: Eukaryota; Viridiplantae; Streptophyta; Magnoliopsida; Cucurbitales; Cucurbitaceae
Description: long non-coding RNA (CSAT_LNC002895)
Source: RNAcentral
UUCCCAUUCCUCGAUUCUCCUUUUGAUUCUCAUCUUACUUCCACUUGCUCUAUCCCAACAAGAAGCAAUUCAAGCAAUUAUCCAUCGUUUGGAUUCCAAAGCUCUAUCUCCUUCUAUUCAGGAAGCUGCAGCCAAGGCUCUUCUCCGGCGAUUGCUUCCCACUCAUGUUGAUAGCUUCGAGUUUCAGAUUGUUUCUAGGGUACCUUUUCUUUUCUUUCCAUUGAAUUUCGAAGACUAACUUUUCUGUCAGUUCUCAAAUCUCAAUUGCAUUUUUAGAGAAAUUUAAUUGGUUGUGCAAUGCAUCUUCAAGUUUUUCAUUCUUAUUUUCCCAAUUUCUCAAAACAACGAACACCAACUUGACCGCUUUUUCUGAUUUUGUAUUUGUCAAUAGGACGUUUGUGGUGGGGGAAGUUGCUUCUUGAUUAGUAAUUUCAAGUCCUCAAGUCGCAAUGGUGCAGAGAUACUGUAAGUUGCCUCUUUUAUGCAUAAAGAUUGCUCUCUGUGAUUGAUUUACUUACACCUUUUGUAUUUAUACGAGGAAAAUAACGAGUCUAUUUUUGGCCUUUUCAUUAUGAAAUGGUCAAAAUGCUUUAAUUGUUCAGAGGACGAUAUUGUCUUUGGGUGUAAUUUUGCGGAGGCUUUAAGAAAUGAAAUAAAGCAGAAUGCAAUUAAGGGAUAAACGUUAUUUCCUCUAAUCACCACUCCACUUUCCCCCAAAUAAAGAAAUACACUGAGAUAGGAAUAUGUUAGUAUAAGAUUUUACUGAUUUGUUUUUUUUUUUUUUUUUUGGGCAACCUUCUCAAGUAUUAGAGGCACUACGGCAGUUGAAAUUACAUCUGGCCUUUACUGGUACUUAAAAUAUUGGUGUGGUGCUCAUGUUUCCUGGGACAAGACUGGUGGAGUUCAAUUAGCUUCAAUUCCUAAACCAGGAUCUCUACCCUUUUUAAAGGGCAAUGGAGUUGUGAUUAAGCGACCAGUGCCAUGGAAUUAUUACCAAAAUGUUGUUACUUCAAGCUGUAAGUGUUGAUUUCUUAAUUGUGAUUUCAUUCAACCUCUAUCUCAAGUGAUUAGUAAUGUCUAGAAUGAAAAUGAUUUCUUUGUUACAUAAUGUAUAGAAGUUAAGCUAAAAUGAAGUUCAUUUGGUGAAUCUGAGGGAGAAAACUAGAUUGAGAAAGAUGAAUACCAUGCAUGUCUUCCCCCAGCCCCAUAAAAAACAUGAUGUGUAUAAGAAGGGAUAGAAAACUGCAUCAAUGACCUUCUGGAUAUCAAUCCGUGAAAUCAACAUCAUGCUCAUCACAAUUCUUUAGUCUUAUUGGUCUUUCAUCUCUUUAAAUGAUAAGUAUAUAUACAUUUAUGCUUACUAAAUUUUCCAAUUGCUUAUUUUUAUUGAGAUCACUUAGGUAUCACAUCUUUUUCUUUUUAAGUAAUGUAAGUGAUACUUUCAUUCAUUUUUCAGAUUCCUAUGUUUGGUGGGAUUGGGAAAGAUGGGAGAAAGAGAUAGACUGGAUGGCCCUCCAUGGAAUUAACCUUCCUUUGGCCUUCACUGGGCAAGAAUCAAUUUGGAGAAAUGUUUUCAGGGUGAGCAGUUACCGAUCCCUUAUUUUAUUAUAGGCGAAUCCAAACCACCUCAGCACCUCCUCGAAAUUCAAAUUUAUUCUAGGAUUGAGAUUUCAAAUAGGUUGGAAUUAGAGAAUAGAAAGAUUUCAAAUAGGAUGAACUGUACACAUUGUAGAGUUGAAUUGUUUUGCAACUUUUAUGUAUCCCCUUAUUCAAGGAUCUGGUUCUAAUGGAUUUAAAAGUUUUUAUUUUUCUAAUACUACUCUCCUUCCGUUUUGCAUAGGCAUUUGUCAUAAGCCUCCCCAUUUUCAGUUAUGUUUUCUUUUUGACUGUUCAAAAUCAUCCAUAAUAUUUGUAGAAGAAAGAAAUAUAUGUCAUGUUCAAGGAUACUAUUUCUCACUAAGAAUUUGCCUUCAUUCAUAAUUUUUCAGUCUCUGUGUUUCUUCUCUUUCAAAAUGGAGUUCUUAGGAUCACCUUUUGUUGGUAUUAUACUAUUAUCAUAUUUUUAGUUUCACUCGAAUGAGGCUACUUGUUUCCUUUACUUGUAGGAUUUCAACCUUGCCGUCAAAGAUUUGGACAAUUUCUUUGGUGGACCUGCUUUCCUUGCCUGGGCUCGCAUGGGAAAUCUACAUGGGUGAGUGACAUUAAUUGUUCUGGAAUAUUUUUGCCUAAAAAACAUGAAUUCACAAAGACAGUAUCAUCUAAAACAUGUCACUUUACCCAGUGCCUAUGUAUUCAGUCUUGACAUAUUGUCUAUAAUUUAUGCAUUUAUGCUACAUGUAAAUAUAGAAGCACUAUGAUAGAACCCGACUUCUCAGUUGGCAAUGGAAAAGGAUACAAUAUAGGAAAUACUGUGGCUAAUGAAAAAUACAGAAGAAAAAUAAAAGCUCCCUGUCGAAGACUCCCUCUCUCCCUCGGCUGCCUUCCUAUCUCUCAAGGAAUAACAGUAGGAUUCUUAUCACCAAAAUUCUCUGCCCUCUCCCUUCCUUCUCGUCUCUAUUUAUAUUUGCUCCCUCACUCCCCUGCCAUGGUGAUCGUGCGUCGGCACUCCAUUUCCUUGUGGUCCCCACUUGCAGUUGGUUACAUAACCAACUCCUCGUCCUUUUUCUCUUUCCUGUUUUUUCUCCUACUAUACUGGCGUAUGAUGGGUGGUCUAACACACUAAUGGAGUUCACAUCCGUAUAUAAGCGUUGUGCUUUAUUAAGUAUUACCAUUCUUGGGCUCUUGUUAAUGAGAAAAGCUUCUAGCUUGUGGAAGAUAAAAAUAGGGGAGGUUUGAUUUUUGGAGACAAUAAAGGUGUUACAAAUGAGCAUGAAGAUUUUGUUUAUUUUGUGUUGUCUGUGUGGUCCUCUACUAUGGAAAGUUAUAAGUUUAUAACUUAUAGUAUUACUUAACUAAUUUUAUAUGAUUAAUUGGAAAGAUUUUGUGCGGUGAUCUUUUGGCUCAGGGUAACCUGGUCAUUCUUACUUUUUCGUAUCGUUAUUUGUUGGUCGCAAUGUUUCUUAGGACAGGUGUAAAUCAGUUACCUAAACAUUAUUUCCAACUUAUACUAUGCAUUCUAAGAUGUCUACCAAAGAUAAUCCGGUUUUCAUUGAUGGUCUCAUCUUUUCUUUCUUUCAUUCAUAUACACUAACAUUUAUCUUACCAAAGGUGGGGUGGGCCUUUAUCGAAAAAUUGGUUGGAUCAACAAUUAGCUUUACAGAAACAGAUACUAUCCCGGAUGCGAGAGUUGGGGAUGACUCCAGGUUUGCUACUCCAAAUUAUUGGUUAUGGAAGUGUUCAAGUGAUGAUAAUUUAUCAUGACAUUUUGCUUGUAGACCCUUUUAUUUAACUGAGACUUUUUUUUCCUUUCUGGUUACAGUUCUACCAUCCUUCUCAGGAAAUGUCCCAGCAGGUUUGGUAGAGAUAUUUCCCUCGGCCAACAUAACUAAAUUAGGAAACUGGUAUCCCCUUCUAAUGCCCAUGUUAUGAGAUAUGUUUUAACUUGUAAUUCUUAUGUGUUUUUGUUAAAAUAUAAGAGGAUUAUAAGUUCUUUUUUCCCCCUUAAUAUAUUAACAUGAUUAAUUUCCAGUUUUCCACUUUUGAACCUAGGAAGACAUCCCAUUACUAAAUAUAAUUUCCAUGAAUUGAAGUUUUCCAUUUUAUUUUUCCCCUGUUAGGAAUUCAAUUGAUGCUGAUCCUAGUACAUGCUGCACAUACCUUCUCAAUCCGUCUGAUCCUCUAUUUGUCAAAAUUGGGGAGGCUUUUAUCAGACAACAGAUAAAAGGUCCACUUCCAUCUGUUUGCUUUGAGUUAACAGACAAAUAAUUUUGUCACCUGUGCUCUGAUCUAAAUAUAUCUUAUUUUUCGAAAAAAGUAGCAGUCCCUUGUGGAUAUUCAUAAUUUCUCUUGCCAAUAUCAUGCAGUUGCACACUCUUUGUCAUUGGUAUCUCAUUAUGCACAAUUGUCACUAUGUCAAGAGAACAAUCAGUGUUUAUUUAUUUAGUUAAAACUAGAAAGUAAGGGACUAUUUUAAUAAACCCUUUUCUUUUUGUUAUUGGAAUUGUUGAAAAUUUGUUAUUGGAUCGGAUGAAUAGUAAAAGUUAACAUCAUUGUGCACGUUAAAGUUACUAUUCGUGAUUUUUGAAAUGAUAACAAGGAAAACAUACUAUGGAGGAAAAUAUCAUACAAAGAAACAAUUAGCAAUUAAGAGGCAAUUACAAAUGUGAGAAAAUAAAAUAUACAAAAAGUGGCUGUACAUUAUAAUUUGACAAAGAGUAUUUUGAGACUAGUUUUCAAACAAAUCCUUACCAUCUAAUUUUAUACUCGGUGCCCCUGUCUGUGUUGUAUAAAAGGAUGCAUUUGGUAGGACAGCUAUAAUUUAUUUUGUUUGAUCGUAUGAUGCUUAAUUGCUUAUCAACUGACGGCUAAACUAUCAAUGUUAGCUUUAAGUCCGUUAAAAGUAUUUCAUUUUUAUAUUUGUUUUCACGCUAUUGGAAAUUUGGAUUUUUCUUAAAAGUUGUCAUAAUAUCUUCAAGGUAUGCAUGUACUAAUACUUUUGUUUUUCAUAUUUUAUGUAUUUUCUGCAGAGUAUGGGGACGUAACAAACAUUUACAGCUGGUAACAACUAAUGUAGCAUUGAAUAAUAUCUUUAUGACGUUUUUUUCUUGAUGUACAUCUCUCUUUUUGGUGGAUAAGCACUUUCCCUUUUGAUUAAGUCACUGUAAACUAUAUGGAGUGACGUGUUGAAACUUCACUUUUUGUACAAGAAAAGAGGUCAACCAAGAAGCUUUAUUUUGUACAAGAUUACAGAAGGUGUCAAAUUGAAGAAACUUGUCCUGAAAAAGAUCUGUAAUUUCAUUUGGUCCAUAAGUUCCACACCAGCCCUCUAGUGGGCACAGCUAGUCAGCUAACUUUCCCAUCAUGUUCCAACAGUUAAAAACUUAAGACCUUCAAGGAGCCAGUCAUCAACCUUUAGUAAAACUAUUCAUUCCAGCGAAGAACUAGAAGUAUUCCUUAUUUCCAAAUGAGGACCACUAGGCUUGUUUUUUAGGAACUUGUUAAAAUAAAGUACUAUAAUUUAAGAGGAGAAGAUCGUGCGAUAGGCGUUUAACCAAAUAAGAUCCAUCUUGUUUAUUUUCCAAGAUCCAAUGAUUAUUGCAAUAACUUGAUUGUGGUGGAAGCUCCUUCAUUUUCCUUAUUUAUUUUAUCUUGCUGCCUUAGAUAACUGAAUGAUAUGUAUUCUGUUCAUUGCAGUGAUACAUUCAAUGAAAAUACUCCACCUACAAAUGACACCUCAUAUAUUUCAUCACUUGGAGCUUCUGUCUAUAAAGCUAUGGUGAAAGCUGAUAAGGAUGCUGUGUGGCUCAUGCAAGUAUGCUCCUCAAGCAAUGAACAACAUAUUUCUUAUGGAUCAUGUUUCAACCAAAACUUUUGUAUAUACUUAAUUAAUUGACUAAAUAUGCCGGUAAAAUUUGGAAUGGUUUUCAGGGCAACAAAUAGGAAUUGAGGGUCAGUUCUAGGGUUGAGAACACUUUUAACUUUAGAAUAGAAAAACUACAGAAGUUUCACAUAUUUGAGUUAUUGAAUUGAAAAGUGACGGCGGAUAAGUUACAAUGUAAGCAAAUACUGAUAAGUGCUGUAUAACAAGAGAACUAUAAAAGAGCUUUGCUUGACAGCAGGCUGUAAUUAAAUGUCUUAGGAGAUGGUGAAAGAGAAGGUGGUAUUUGGGUGUAUCAUAUUUUGUAUAGAACGCGGACUUACAAAGUUGUGUUUAAAAAGUAAUUCCUACACGAUGGUUACUGAUAUAUGGUGUAUUUAGUCUGACUAUUCUGUAAUUGGAUGAGGAUGGUGUACUUUUGAUAAAAUGGUGGACAAUAUUCCUAUGGACCAAUUUGACAAUGGUUUUGUUUUGUUUACCUGUUUUCAAAAUUUUUGCUUGUAUUGUAAAAUUUUCUGUGUUAUUUUAAGAUAGAAAUCUGAGAUUUCAUUGAUAAAUGUAACUAUAGGAUUACUAUUGGUGAUUAACAAAAAAGAUUUCCAAUCAUUCAAAAGAGUAGAAUGAUCAGUCAACGGGUGUGGACAUUUAUACCAAUUUUAAGUAUUAAAAGAGUUUGUUUAAGGAAACUCUUGAAGAUUCUCCAUUUUGUUUCACACCAAAGUGACCAAAGAAAGAGCGAUCGAUAGCUUCCAAAUUUUCAGUCAGUCUUUUAUUUUCAAAAUCUUGUUUUUAUUUUCGAAAUUUAGCUUAAACUUGAAAUGUUAUUUUAAAAAAGUGAAAAAUGUAGGAAAACAACAGAAAGCCAAAAACAAAAGAACUAGACUCGGACUGUUUUUUUUAGGUUGAGUUUUCAGAAUAUUCAAAUCUCUAGGGUGUUUAUGCAAAUCAGAUUUACCAAAUUUUAAUUUGAUGAGUUUCGUUUUCUAUAUUUGAAUUAAAAUUGAUUGUUCCAUCUCUGUGCAGGGAUGGCUCUUCUAUUCAGACUCUGAUUUUUGGAAGCCUGAUCAAAUGAAAGUACGUAUGCGCACAAGCGACAUAGAAUUUCUUAACAUUCAUUGUUAAUUCUUACUGAGUUACUGGCAAAGGAUGUACUUGAUCUAAAUAGUCUCGCCCAGUCCCCACGUCUCUUGUUUAAAGUUGUACAGGCGUUUAGUUAUGUGGGAUAGUUGGAGUUUGUGAGUGGGAAUUGUUAAGUACCAGUGAGUACAAAUUAGGGGAGGGUAGGGAAAUGAGGUUAGGAAAUAUUUUUGUACAUAGAAAGAGAUACCGUUCCUGCUUGAAAAUAUUGGUACUUCUCAAAUGGUUCCAAAAGUAAACCGUUCUUGAGAAUGAAUCUAGAGUUUGGAAUACUAUUGGAGUGUCAUUGUUUUCUGAUGGAAAUGAAGGAUGUCUUGGUAUCCAUGAAUUGGAAGAAAACAAUGGCCACAAAACCAACUUAGAGAAGCUCUAAAAGUAGGAUGAAUCAAACACAAGAAAUUAGAACCCAUCUGCUUGCAACAUGGGUUGAAGGGGUGGUUGAUGUCAAAGGUCUAAGCUAAAAAAAAAGGACUUAGUAUCUAUGGUCUACAGGUUUCUUAUUGCACCAAAAUGGUCUUUUUAAUAAAAAAGUUUACAGUUGGGUUACGUAAUCUAUUACCAAACUAUCAAAAUAACUCUUUUUCUGGCCUUUUGGUUGUCUCACAAUACCACUUAUUAGCUAUGGUUUUAUGGGGUUUGCAGGCACUACUUCACUCAGUCCCAUUUGGGAAAAUGAUUGUUCUUGAUCUAUUUGCGGAUGUCAAGCCAAUUUGGAAAUCAUCAUCUCAAUUUUAUGGUACACCCUACGUAUGGUCAGUAACCUCUUUAUUACCGUUUUCAAGGAAGCUAUGGAACGUCUCGAUAAUGUCAUUUCUGUACUUUUUUUUUCACAAGUUCAAUAAGAAUUUAGUUUGACUUCAGGUGUAUGUUGCAUAACUUCGGUGGAAAUAUAGAAAUGUAUGGUAUAUUGGAUGCAAUCUCUUCAGGUCCAGUCGAUGCUCUUGCAAGUGAAAAUUCAACAAUGGUACAUUUAGUUUUGUAUUGUAUAAUUUACUGUUGUCAUAUAUACGUGAUGCAUGUAGCACAUAAACUCCUAUGAACAUGCAGCUAACUAAUAUUUCUAAAAGAACAGACACUGUUUUCGUUUGCUGUAUGUCUUGUAGACCAUAGUUCUCUUUUUCUUGAUUAUCAAUGAAUUGUUUCUCUUACCAAAAAAAGAAUGGUUCUAUUUUUCUUGAUUAUCCCAUCCAUACAUGUGAACUAAGAUGUAAAGAUUGGGAGUCUUGAUAUUUUAUCCUGUUACAAAUGGUGUUUUCUCCACUAUGGUAGGUUGGUGUUGGCAUGUGUAUGGAAGGAAUAGAGCAUAAUCCGGUUGUUUACGAAUUGAUGUCUGAAAUGGCAUUUCGCAGCAAAAAAGUUCAAGUCCAGGUAAUUUGCCCCCAAUGCCUUUAUAUAGUCGAGGUGUUCUUGAUGUUUAGCGAUUCAAAGCAUUAUGCAAUGGUUGGGCAUGUAAGCACAACCUAAGCUGGUGCCCUCGAACAAUCUAUAAUCCUGCUUAUUAGAAGACUCUAUACAUGAAUAUCAUUUGUUCGUUUAUAAACUAUAACUGGAGUGUAUUUUCUGGAAUCAAACAAAUUGUUCUUUUGAUCAAAUUUAUGUUUUUGUGUGUACUUGUAUGUUGCAAUCUGCAUGAUUCAGUGAGAGAAUUUGAGGGAAUUAUAGAGAAUGACAUGGUUCAGAGCCGUGUCUUAACAACCAGGAGACAAAAAUGUGAAGAACCACAAUAUCUUAAUUUGAUAGAAAAAUUGCAAUAAUUUUAAAGAUGAAGAUUCAUUCAAAUUUUAUCAUAUCAUGGAAGAGUGUCAUCUUGUAUCUACUUCUCAUAUUAUUCAUCCAUGACUUGUUUUUGAAAUUAAGCAGUUCUAAACAUUUACAAUAAUGAGUCCAUGUUCUUACAUUGUUACAAAUUUGAUUUUUCCAUAUAAUUGGAUUUUUAUUAACGUCUAUAAAAUAACUCUAUGAUGGAGAUGAUGCUGACCAUAAUGAAAUAUUGUAAUAUCUUGUAGGAGUGGUUGAAGACCUAUUCCCGUUGUCGUUACGGCAAAGCAGAUCAUUAUGUUGAUGCAGCUUGGAAUAUUCUUUAUCAUACAAUUUACAAUUGCACUGAUGGCAUUGCGGUAUGUCAAGUUGAGACAUAAUGUUCAGAAAAGAAAAUUGUUUUGUAUAAUUAUAAGAAAUAACUUUGAACAUUCUAAAAAAGCUUUAAAAGUAUUUUUAGCAAGAUAACUUAAUUAAUGUUUUUCCCAAUGUCAUCCAAACACAUUAUGAGUAAAUUCUGCUGUUUUUUAAAUUAUGGAAAUUGGUAGCUUUGCCUAAAAGUGCCAUCAAAAUUACGUAAGUUUUUAGACCGCUACUAUUUCUAAUUCAAGAGAAUCAAUUGGUUAACACAGGAUGAAUGUACCCUCCAAUUUUUUCUUUACUGGAUGCGUUUCAUUUGGUGAUUAUUGCUUGAAGAUUUAUUAUAAGCGAGAAAUGCCCAACUGCAGAAUUGAGUUUUAUGAAAUUAUUGUGUUCUUUUUUCUGCUUUAUGGCUAUUUACUGAUCCGUUCCUUUAAUUUUUUUUCCAGAACCAUAACACUGAUUUCAUUGUCAAACUGCCUGAUUGGGAUCCAUCUUCAACUUUUGAUCUGAAAAAACCGCCACAUCUAUGGUAUUCCACUCAGGAGGUUAUCAAUGCCUUGCAGCUACUUGUUAAUGUAGACGAUAAUCUCGUCCACAGCGCUACAUAUAGGUAAGAUGGCACAUUUUCAUAUGCAUAUGAUCGAGUCUUAAGGAUGAGGAGUUAGUAUGUUUUACAAUACAGUUCUAGUCAACCACUUCACAAGUUUCAGAUAAGUUUCUAAGCAACAUGUUCAUAGAGAAGCGUUAUACGAGCCUCAUUCUGAAGAUAUGAUCAGUUAGUUUACUCUAUUGUUGCUUGUAAUUGAACAGAUAUGACUUGGUUGACUUAACACGGCAAGUGCUAGGGAAACUGGCAAAUGAAGAAUAUUUGAAGGCUGUAACUGCUUUCCGACGCCAGAAUGUGAAGGCUCAAAAUCUUCACAGCAAGAGGUUUAUUCAAUUAAUUAGAGAUAUUGACAAACUACUAGCUUCUAAUUCAAACUUUCUGCUCGGAACAUGGCUUGAAAGUGCAAAGAAGUUGGCAACAAAUCCAGCUGAGAUGAAGCAGGUUAGGAAUUGCCUCUUUCUAAUGGCAUGAAACUUACAGCAUACUGCUACUCUUUUCUUAUCAACCUUUCCAUUUGCUAACCUUUGUUUUAAAAAGUAUGCUUACUUCCCUUCAUUUUAUUAUAUUUGCUAUUACGGUAAAUUCUUAGCAAAUUUUGAAAACAAAAAAGAAUCUCUUUUAAUUUGGCCUACAUAUUCAAAACAUUUUUUAAAAAAGUAGACACAGCUAAGAAACACGGAAGUGGAAGUAACAUUUGUAAUCUAAAAAUCCAAAAAUGACCAUAUCGACUUUUUUUCUGCAUUCUAUUUGACAAGAUCUCCUUUUUUUUUCCUUCUAAUUUAAUCUUAUUUAUGAAUUUGUUACUGUUUUUUAUUCUCUCUCUCUCUGUAUAUAUAUCGGUUGUCAUUCUACAGCAUUUCUUUUCUUGGUCAAAUUUAUUUAACCUUUUGAAAGCUCUUUCGAUAGUGAAACUCUAAUAUUGGAUUGGUACUUUAUUAAAAGCAACAUUUUCUUAUUGUUGCAAUAGCAUGUCUUGUUUUCCAUUUUAUAAGUUGAUUAUGAAAAGCAAGCUCCAAAUUUUCUAUCCUUGGUUCAGUAUGAAUGGAAUGCAAGAACACAAGUAACUAUGUGGUAUGAUAACACAAAAGUCAAUCAGAGCAAACUUCAUGAUUAUGGUAAAUAUUACAUUUCAAUCCUGCUAUAACAUGUUAUUCUCCCUAUUUUCCCUAAUUCAAAUUAACAUGUUUUGUGCUUCUUAUCAGCAAAUAAGUACUGGAGUGGGCUACUGGAAGGUUACUAUCUCCCAAGAGCUUUGACCUACUUUUAUUACCUAUCAAAAAGCUUGAGAAAAAAUGAGAGCUUCCAUUUGGAAGACUGGAGAAGAGAAUGGAUACUGUUUUCAAACAAAUGGCAAGCUGCUUCAGAGCUUUACCCAGUUAAAGCUGAAGGAAAUGCAGUUGCUAUUUCUAAAGCCUUGUAUGAAAAGUACUUUGAUUGAAACAAUUUCUCAAUGUUCUACCAAAAGCAAACAUGGUAUGACCAUUUCAAUUCUUAGUUUUUUUCCUCUUUCCAAUAUCAAAGAUUAUUGAUGGUCCCUUGCCAGUUGUUUCUGUUUUGCAAUGAGACCCCUUUAUGUACUCUAAUGUUCCGUCUCUGUUUCCAAUAAUCUGUCAUAAUAUCAUUAGUCCAUGUCAAAGAUGAUUCUUUCUAUAAUUUUUGAAUCUUCAUAGCUCUCAAGUAUCUUUCAUCAUGUAAGUAUCUAUGUUCGGCAAAUUGAAAGGAAAACAAUAUACAACACUUGGGUAUUUCCUUUGAACUACCUCUACAAAAAUUUGAAUGUGAAAAAAGAAUUUAACCCAAAAAAGAAAAACUUGAGGAAAUGAUAUGGCUGCAAAUUGCACUAUCAUUUAUACAUUCAGAUUUCGAGUAUUUUCAAUUCUUAUACCAGCUCUUUCAGUAGCGGGUCGCCUGCAGCCAUAAGCCUCAUAAGCUCAGCAAAUUCCACUUCAUUGGAAACCCGCCAUGGAUGAACAGCAGGAACUUCAGCAGCAUACAAGUUUGUAACAUUACUCAACAGUUCCUCUGCCGGUAUCUUCUUAUAAACCAUUCUGCUGAAAAUGUCGUCGAAAUUUAGGGGUGAAUCCAUUGCCAUGAAGAACAUUGCCACAGCUACUCUGUAAUCAAUCUUGUAGUUACCAACAAGAGCUACAAGAUCCGUGAAGUCUCCCACAAACAUCCGAGGUACGUAAAACACUUCACUGUUGCAAAUUGUGAGUCCUUGCUCGGUUGGGUUACUUUCCUUAUAGUUGACUUGAAAAUGAACAGGCAUUGUGCUCACUACCUUCUUCACCCAGUCUGCUUGUUUAGCAAACAAGACAGAAUCAUCACUGACUCUGGUCCAAGAUUGAGGGACCUGUGAGAAAGAGAAACAAUUAUAGAACUCUUCAACUCUUCUACAAAGCAAGAGAGAUACAACUGAGACCUGCAUCAUACCUUGUAAGUGAUCCAAAGUUUAUCUUUAUCUGCUUGCAGUAAAUUCCAAUAGUUGAGAAUGGUGUUAUCUUGGAGGAACAAGAAUCCUUCUGCAUUAGGAAAUCUUUCAAAUACCAUGGGCAGGUACCUAUAAAAAGAGAAUUAAUUUGUUGAAUUUAUCAUUCAUGAACUUUUCUAAAUAAAUAUUUAGUCAUUCAUUUUAAUUAAGAAUCCUUUCUUUUUAAUCUGUCAUCAAACUAAACCUGACUAAAAAAGAGUAUACAGACAUUAAACAUAUUGUAGGCAAAAUGACCAAUACCCCGUUUUCCCAUUAUUUGAAUCUAUUUGGUGUAUAAACAUCAUAUCACUAUUUUUUUAUGUAUUUAUAUCAGUUUUUAAAUAGAUUCUUGCAACUUUUAUUUAUCUUAUUUUGUAAUUUGUGUUAUCAAAAAUAAUUCUACUAACUUACCACAUAUAUUAAAUAGUUUCUCUUAAAAGUGGUACUCUACAUCUAUACUUCGACUAAAUAAAUAUAAUAGUUUGUAACUAAAUUACAAAAGAAAAGGCUCUUGUACAUGAACUUAAAAUUCCUUUUGCAAAACACCAUUAGAUUAACAUUUAGAGCUAUAUGUUUUAGAGCCUUGUAUGAAAAGUAAUUUGAUUGAAACAAUUAUUUAAAAAUCAAAAUGAACAACUUUUUAUUUAAAAGAAUCAAAAUGAAUAAACUGUUACGAAUUGUAGUUACAAAGAAUAAAUUAUAAAUUGUUACAAUUUUGAAAAUGAAGGGACGAAAUUGUUUUUUAGGCAUUGGGACCAAAUUCUUAUUAGACUAAAUUUCUAUUUGGGUUAUUUUUUAAAUAAAAUAAAAUAAACCAAAACAUUUAUAAAAUAGGACAAAAAAAAUUUAGUUAGAUACCGCAAUAGAUUAAAAUAGACUAUUAUUUGUAUCAUAAUAAAUACAUAUAUUAGUCUAUUUUGGUCUUUUUAGGUUUUUGUUAUAUUUUUGCUAUAUUUAUAAGUAAUUUUACUAAUUUUUUAUUUAAAAUAAAUUUUCUAGUUAUUUUAUCAGAAAUGAUAAAAAUUGGAAACUACUUACUUGUAUAUGAACUCCAAAGAAAUUAAGAAAUCACUAAAAAAAAUUAAAUGAAGAAGAAUUUUCCACAUAAUUUUUCGUGUUGGAAAUUACUUACUUGUAUAUAAACUCCAAAGAAGCUUCCUCCACUCCCAAAUCUUCCCUGCCAUGUUCUGCCACAACCACCACAGUUUUGAAAAUCCUUCCAUAAAGCAAUUUCCAUUUCAUGGCAGUUCUCUCCACAUCUCCAUUUUCAACAAACAAAACCAUCACCACAUUACCAAAUUUCUUCCUCCAUCUAAUCAACUUCCCUAUCUCAAAGUUCACAGUCUCAGAUUCUUCCACCCCAAGAUGAAAACCAGGCAAUUUUUUAGGAACAAAACUCCUUCCAUCACCAAUCCUUCUUUUCCUCUGUUUCUUCAUUUCAAAUCCCUUCAUUCUUGGUUGAAUAUACCCAACAGAAAUCAAAUCUUGAAGCCAAGCUCCAAUCAGUUUCACAUCGUUCUCCUUCCAAAACCCUUCCUCUUCCAUUGAAUUACUCAAUUCCAUUACCUUCUCAAAGAACGUGGCUUUGUUUGAUGUCCAUGAACUCAAGAACUUCACCAAUCUCCCUACAUUCACAUGCAAGUCUUUCUCUUCUGAAAAUGGAUAUCCUUCAAUGUCAUCAUAUCUAAACAUUGUCGGUGGAUAAACCGCUACGAAACCUCCUAAUUCCCAUAAAAGUCUUUGUGCCCAAUAACCCCUCAAUAUAUCACAAGCCAUUGUACUAACAGAAACAGGAAGCAUAAGAGCCCAUAAUGCUGAAUUAUGAAACAAAGUAUUGAAAGAGUUUAAUGGUACCAUCACCCCGUGAGGUAUGGCGACUUUCGGUGCGUGGUCGUCGAAUCUUAUGUCGAAUGCCUGGGAACUUGUCUUUCGAGUGAAGUAAAACACCGAAUCUACAUCUGGUAAACCAUUGGAUAUGCCUUGUUGAAUGAACUGCAUUCCUCCAAAUACUUGGCUGUAAUGUUCUUCAUACAAAACAUCUCCUACAUUCUCCAAUGGCAGCCCUCUAGGCCAAACCGAUCGCUGUCCGAAAUGAAUAUAUGGAUUCACGACGGUUUUAUUCGGGUUCUCAAAAUCAAACUCCAAGAUUCUCUCCUGCAGUGUGUCUACAUUGGACAAUUUCAAAUCAAAAUGCUUCCCAAGAUCCCCAUCAAUCACUUCACCCCGAUCAUCUGCAUCGAAUAUCAUUUUCGCGCCAUGUUGGAUAGCGAAAAGAUAACCAACAGUCUUUCUAGCAUAAGAAUCAUAAGAAAGAAAAUCCACAACUCUAAAUCCUAAGCUAGAUUGUUCCUCUAGAGACAGGUAUAUAACUCCCUUAAGACUCCAAUCCGAUGGAGUUCUAGAAUUCCCCACAGCUAGUACCUGCCAUCCUCUGGUUUUCGCAAGCUUUCGAAGCGAAUCAGAAGGAUAACUCGAAACAGAAACAACAAUCCACCGAUCAGAGCUAAAGGAAGCGUAACUUGAGGAUUUAUCGACAAGGGGAUGAAUCGAAUCGAAGUUGAUUAUGGGCAAAUGGGUGAGUUGAGAGGGUUUAGGGCGAGAGUUGAAGCAGAGAAAUGCAGCAGAAUCGGGAGCUCCUCGGAGGAAGAAGAAGGAAGCGAUUGUGAGGGUAAGGAAGAAAAGGGUAGCGAGUUUGAAGAGAUUGAGAGAGACCCAGUUGGAGAAAUCGAAGGGUUUGGAUUCAGGGAAGGGAUUAGCGAGUGGGAUUUGAUGGGGUUUUGGGUUUUGACGAUCUUGAACCAACAUGGUAAGUACUAAAGUACUCAGGUUUUGAGCUCUGUGGAGUGAGUUUUGAACUCAGAGAGCCAAAAUAGAAAGCUCAAAAUGACUGAAAUGGAGAAGAAAACAAAAACAUAGGGAGUGAUCUUUGUGCGUUUCUUUCUUUCAUCUCAGAGCUCCAGCCGACAGUGGCCAACUGAUAAUGCAGACAGAAUUGGAUCAUUGAUGGGUUCUUUUUCUUUUUUUAAUUAAAAAGAAAUUAGUUUAUUUGAAAGGAACUGAAAAUGAAACAGAUGAAAGAUGAGGAUGAAGGAUGUUGAGGGGCAAAUGGAAAUAAUUGAAAAAAGUGAGUGAGGAUUUGCGAUUUGGACAGCCGCCCUUACCGACAGAGAGAGAAACUCUCGUGCUCUUUUUUUACUCAUCAUCUCAUUUCCUUUCCUUUCAUCCACACACUUCACAUACUUCAACUUCCUACUAUUAAAUUCAUAUAUAAUAUAUAAUUGUAAAGCCAACCAGGCCAUUCUUACCACCUACGACAACUAUUUAGUCUCAACUUUAUUUGAUUUGGUUUAUCAAAUUACUUAGACACCUUUUCAGGGAAUAUCAAGGUAGGAAGAUCAUCAUGGACUUGAUGACAAAUGACGUAACAUCCCAGUUUAAAGGGUUAAAAGAAUAUUUGGAAAAGACUUAAAAUAAUUGAAAAUCAUUAUCUAUACUAACAAAAUGCAAUUUUUUUUUUUCAACAACUCAAUCCUAAGGACUCCAAAGUGCAAUAUUUUCUUUCAACAACUUAAUUAUAAGUUAGUAUAAGUAUACAAGCAUGUGAGUUAAAACAAAGCAUCCUAAAAAGUUUUAUAUUAAGCCCUUAAAUGCCAAAGCAUCCUAAAAAGUUCUAUAUUCUAUAUUAAGCCGUUAAAUGCCAAAUCAAUCUAGGUAUGAGAUAUUACGAAUUAAUUAACCAUUUUACAUUUUGUGAGAUGCACCUUGUGUAACAAGUAAUGGUAUAAUACAACUUAUUAUGAAAGAGUUAAAUACAAAUAUGAUUUAGGACACAUGAUGUGACUAGUCUAUACAGCUUAACUAAUCUAUCCUAACCCUUAUACUUUUAUUCGGUUGGAGUCGACCCAAAUACGACCCCAUAGAAAUGGUUUAGAAUGAAAAUAAUGAAACAAAAGUUAAGUCAAGUAAUGAAACAAUAAGUAAUGUUGUUGAUUGGAGGGAGUAUCAAAAGUGUAAACACCGUUAAAAAGUGAUAGAUCAACUUCUUUCUUGUAUUAAAAGAUCAGUAACAAUACAAUUAGAAUAUCCAAUAUAUUUCCCCCCACCAAUUCCUCUAAGAACCUUUUUCAUCAACAAAUUAAUUUCUAGAACUAAAGUCCCAGAUUAAUAGUGAAUCCUUCCAACGAUUAGACAAAGUGGGCUGACCUUGAUUUCUAUGAACAUCUUCAUCUCUUUUAACUUUAUUUUUAUUUUUUUUACUCUAUCUCCCUGCUUCCUGCUUCCUGCUUCCGUUUACUUUCAUGCGUUCUUCUUCGUCGAUGUUGUCGGAUCUCGAAUCGAGUUCGGAAUCAAAUUCAUCUUCUCAUCAUCCCUUCCACCCACUCCCACUUGGCUUUCUUCAUCAUCUUUCAAAUUAGAUCUAUGUUCAUCAGCAUGUCGUCCAUGUAGUCAUAAAAUCGCUUCUUGGAUACCGAGCUUGCCGUUAAGGUACAAUUGUGUUGGAAGAUCACAUUUGUGAAGGCCUGAGACAGCCUCUGUUUGUGACAAAGACAAUGAUCCUGUUAGAGCUAAUAAGGGUUCUAACAAGAAUGAUUGGCCAUCACUUUUUCUCUCCUUAUCUUUCCUCAUUUCUUCCAACAAAGCAUUGCUUGUGUCUAUGCCUGUUUAGAUUGGUCAAUAAAAGAGAUUAUCAUCCGGAGAACAUAUGCUAGAAACAUGUAAUAAAGUUUCCAAUAAAAACAAAUUAAACAAGUUAAUUAGUAGGUGUUUCACAAACCUGCAAGAUAUCCACCAUGUACAUAGCCAUUAAAUCUUUCGCUUGUGUGUUCUCCAGUGAAGUAGAUGCGUCCAAUGGGUUCCUGGAAACGACACACCCAUAAAGGUUAGAUAUUUGACCUAACGUAGAAUUUGUGUUUCUAGUAUAAUUCAGACCUAGUUGACACAAGAGGUUAUGGUUCAUUUGAAUUUACUUACUAAGUUCUUAAAAACACUUUUUUCACACACCCGAGGAUUUAAACUUACUAACAAAGUAAAACUAACAAGUUUUACUACUCUAAACACACUACAUAAUUAAUUUGUCACGUAUUCAAGUUCGGUCCAUAUAUGCUUAUUUAAGGAAAUAUGUUAGUUGUGUGUGCUUGAAACAGUUUGGUGGUGGAAGCGGCUCUAUUCACAGGCUUCUACAUCAACAGCAAGUAUUUCUACUUUCGAAGUGGUUAGAGAGAUCAAUCAAUCAAUCAUGCAGUGAGUUACAAGUUAAAACUUGCACAUAGUGAAAUAGGCAAUGAACCUUAAUGUUUUGAACAACUUGGCAAUCGGAGAUGAUGGGGUAGUUACUGUAGCUACCACGUUGAAACCUGUUACUCCACCAGCGAGGAACGAGUAUGUCAGUAGCAUCAGGGAUAUCUGGUCCAAACAUAUCCCUAAGCACUUCCAUGGAUUCUUUCAUUGUCUCUUCAUCAGAUUGAGCUUCGACUCUUUUCGAUUCUCCAUUUGUAACGGUCACCACCAGGAUAUUGGACCCAGGAUAGGCGUUCUCCAUGUUCUGAUGUUAUCAUAAGAUAGUCAGUUUCACAGUAGUUUGAUUAUUAAUCCAUAGCAUGUCAUAGUAGAAUGAUCGAGUAGCAAAUGCCAUAACAUUGUCAGACUGGAGUCAUGGAAAUACACAAUACGUACUCCGCCAAUCAAACAAAUUGAUAUCCUUAUAUUAUUAUAGUUCCAUCAUUCAAGAUUUAGUGUUCGUGGACAGAUAUUGACAGCUGCGGUAGCUGACAACUGUAUCAACAAUAAAAUGGAAAAGAAUUAAGCAUAAAAGAGACUGCCAAAAUUUUAUCUUCGAGAAACUUAAGCACCGUAAAAAAUCCUGCAUCCUAGUACAGGUCGAUAAAGUCGAAUAAUGAAGGUGUUCUCAAUCACCCAUUAAAACAAGAUAAUCAUAAUAAUCAAUUGUUCAAGAAUUACUGGUAUUGAAUCAUCUACAAUAGAGAUAGUAAUAAAUGCCUUUAUCUGACGAGUUAAUCUUGAAUUGAGCUUAUUAUAGCUCUUAAUAUAAAAUAAUAUGAUAUAAAUUAUAUUAUCCCAUGUUGUAUUUUAAUGUGUAGAUUUGUGAUUUGAGAAAAGUAUUUUAAAAUUUUGAAUCCACAUACUAAAUAUAGAUAGUUGACAACUCAAAACUAAAUCAAUCUAACUAGAGGGUCCAACGCGAUGACAUCCGUAUUCUGAAAACCAAUGCUACAAAACAAAUAUACAAGAUGAUAUGCAAUCCAAUGAUUAAGAAUUAAAAAAAUACGAGAGUUGAUAGGUUGCAUGUGACCCACGUGCACCUGAUGCACGGCUCAUUAUGAAAGUACUUCCAACCGUAUAAUAAGUUAAUAAUGAUACGAGUAAACUAAUAUAAAAAAAACCAAACAUAUUAAAAAAUAUCGAUGCAGAGCACAUAGGUCACACGGCUACUACUAGUUCAACCUAAGACCUGGCUGGCUAUCCCCGUGGGCUAAUAUUUGCAAGCAUCCAAUUUUUCUAGCUAAGAAGACUUUGUUUAUUCACUUUCUUUUUUGGAUAAGUAGUGGCGAUGAGAUAAGUGUUAGCUGGCAACAACAACGAGAUUUAGCAAAUAUAUAUAUUUAACGAACCUGCCAAAACGUGUAAUAGCCCCUUCUUUCAUGGGCGUAAAUAAAGAAUUCUUUUCCGGGUCCGCACGGCCAGAACUUAUAUGGGAACUUGAGGAAAAUCUUUGUAUACACCAUCACGUCACAUUUCUCUAUAGCCUCUGUUUUCCACCUCUGUUUCAUUAGAUUUUAAACCAUCAUGUUUAGUUAAUAAUACCAAACCCCACAGCAACAUAGAAAUAAAACAUUACAAGGAGGAUCAGCACACAGAAACAGAGGGGCCAAUGGUUCAGUCACAAGUGGGUAAUUAACCAAGAAAUGUUUAAGUAUAUGAUAAAGACUUGUGGGUUUAAUGCAUAUGCGCAUACUGUACUCUAUAGAAAAAGAGGUAAAAGUGUAAAUAAAAAACCGAUCACGUGUAGAUUAGACACACACGCACAGAGGAUAUGAGUCACAAAAUGCAAAACUGGGGAGAUGAUGCAUGGGAGUCGCACAUAGACACAUUGGGAAUCCGAUUCUUACGUCAUGAGUCAGUAGGAGGCCUUGCCAUUCCAUAAAUUCUGACCCACUAAAUGAAAAUUAAAUAAUGGACCAGGCCAUUUAGAGAUGUAUAUCAAGAGAAGUCAAGUCAGAACGAAAAUCCCACCACCUUACAGGACGGACAGAGCCCGAGAGAUAUUUAUUGUGUUAUGAAUAUUGAAAGGUCAAGAUUCUCCCCCACCCAUCUUAGGUCUCUCAAUAGAGGUUCACAAAUCAAGAGGCAACAGAUACGACACGUCGUCAUAAAUUAUAGGGGGCAUUCUUGGUCUUGGUGGGGGCGAAAGUCAGAGAGUGAUUAGUAAGUAGUAUAGUCACAAACAACAUGGAAUAAAUAAAAGAAGAAAACGUACGGGUAAAGGUGGAGUGAAAGAAAUGAGGUCGCUUUGGAGUACACCAAUGCUAACGGACAAAACCACAUAAUUGGCUUCAUAGAUACAUCCAUCCUCCGUUGUUACAGUAACCCCGUUUCUCGAGUGUUGUAUUUCCCGAACAACCUGCAUAAAAUGAUGCAUAAAAUUUGUCACGAAGAACAGAAACAGAUAAAAAUUUUGUCACAGCAGUCAACUCCCACCCAAAACCAGAACCAAUUUUUUUAUUUGGGAAAGAUUACGGGGAAUCUUUGCUCAUUUAAUGACUCAUCACAACCCAUUUAUGGCUGCUAUCCAAAAAUCACAGUGAUUACUAGUGAAGCAGGACGAUGAUACAGGGGAAGCUUCCCACAUUUACUGCAAUUCGCAUCAGAUUCGUUGGGCAAUAAAGGGAACCAAAACAACAGCCCCAUUAAAUGUAGAUAUUGACUAGACUCCCCACUUUCAUGUUUUUAUUUGAGUUGAUUUGACAUCUCACCCCAUGGGUUAUUGUUUAUGGUCAUAAAAACCACUGUGCAACCAAAUGCAAAUUGAUAUUCAGUGACCCUACUAAUUUAAUAAUGGUAAAAAUGUUUUCAAAACGUUGCAUAUUGUCAUUACAAUUCUGUCAAAUAUUAUACAAGCAAGGACAUUGCUGGCAAGUCAAAGUUUUGCUAUUCAAGUAGGGGGAACGCUAUCAAAAAUUACUGCUCAUUGUUGGGUGUAGGGGUAAAUAAAAAAUUAUAGAACCCCAAUUAACAGAAGCAUUCAACGGAUGGAUUCUCCAGUUUCGGAAACUACUUCACAGUUGAAGAACAAUUAGAGAAGAAAAAAGAGAAAGGGGGGAAGGGCAAAGUUUUUUAGUGUCAAUUUCAUUGGUAAAGAAACCAAAAUUAGAACAAAUCCUAUUCAAAUUAUCUGUAGCAGGUCUAUUCAGCGUUGGGAUUCAAAUGAUGUCUACAGGAAAUCAUCUAGCGACAAACUAUGAAAGCGAUAUCGUGAUCAUAUGACACGGAUGGAUGCCACUAAUUUCAACCAAUAUCUUAAAUAAAUAUUUAAGCAGCCAAAAUAAAUAUAUGGUAAAAGCUCACAAAUCCCAAGGCCGAUUUUUCUCAUUAGCCAGGUAUCCAAUGCAGAUCAUAAAGUUUCUUUCAGCCGCUAAAAGAGUUAAAGCAAAAGCGAAAUUAUCAAGUUGACCACCACCUACACUAACACACAGCUUCUAAUAUAAACUGGCAAAUGACAAUAGUAAUAAUAUAAUAUGAAUUGGAAAUUGCUUUCAGAAACGUCAUUAUCUGCAAACUCCCAAAAGUGGGUCAAUCAUCAAUCUCAACGACAAAUAAGAAUAGCACAUGCAAACAAAAGAGAUACCCAGGGAUUUCUAUCCUAUACUUUUUCUGUUUCUUUUACUGUAUUUUUAUCAAAGCCCAUAUCCGUCCUUUUGUUUCAUCAUAUGAUUGGGUAAUCAACAACAGAACAGACAAAAUUUUCAUUUAAAAACAUAUAAUUAGCUAAAAAGUCAAUAUUUAAAAAGGAAAACAAAUAUAUUUUCUCUUUUUUUCUUCUCACCUUGUUGAGUUUGAGACGACUGUCCAAGAUUUUUCCUUCUGAGGUAAAAAGAAAGUCUUCAGCCAUUUUGUAUAGCAAACACUCAUACCCUCUUUCAUCUGCAACCAAAAAUUCCCUCUCUCCAAAAUCCAAAUACGUCGAUAUAGGCUCAACCUCUUCAAAAAAGAAAAAAACCCAGUUCCCAAUUCAAUACUCACAUACAGUAUCAGAAUAAGAAAAAAGAACAAGAAUCGGACAGCAAUAUGACCUGGCAUCUCAAAAUCAUGGAGUAUAAAGUCGAUAGCGAGUUCCAUGGGAGUCUUUGGCGUACUGUAAACAAAAGAAAGAAGAGAUAACAUAAAAAUCUGCUUAGAGAAUGUUAAUUAACUUAAUGCCAUAUAUAAUUCUUCUUUUUUAGAUGCUCAUGAAACGAACAAUAGACUUUUUGAAAAAUAUUUACCAAAGUGGCUCUGAUACAAUGGAUAAAUCAUCCGCAUCCUCCCCUUGGUUCCUCAGCUUCUGAAUCGCCGAGUCCACCGCCUUCUUGUACGAGUCGGCCGCAACUCCACUCGGAAAAAUUUUCCCACUGCAAACUCAUUGAUUCAAGAACCUAGACUCACUUCAAAUUGACCGAGAAAAGAAAAGGCGAAACAAAAAAAACGAAGGAAAAAAUGGACAAACAAAGGUUCAAAUUCCAUCUCUAAACCAUCAAUACAUUGUUCAAUACCACCAAAAAACAAUGUCUCGACUCUCGAGCAAAAAUAGCGGAGGAUUAAAAGAAACCAUCCGAAACAUAAAAGAGAUUGGGCGAAACACGAAAAUAACAUCAAUCAAGAUCAGGAAUCCAAACCUUCGAUCAUAGAUAUUAUAACGAGCAUUGCUGUAAUCAGAGAAGCAAGUACGGAGACUAGAUUUGAGAGCAAGUUCCCAAACCGGAUUCGGCUCUUUACCACCGACUCCAACAAUCCACCCCGCUCCAAGUUCCACCGAUACACCUCCAAAAUUCUCCUUACAAACUCUUCCUCCAAUACGGUCAGAAGCCUCCAAAAUCACAAAGUCAUCUACUCCAUUGUCCACCAAAACCUUCGCCGCCGACAAACCUUCCAAUCAACAAAUCAACUAAAUCAAAUCAAAGAAAAAAAAAAAAAAAGUACAAUAAAGCGAGAGAGUCGGAAACGGAAUGAAUCAGUAACAGACAAAGGUAUAAACAAACUAUAAGAAGAGUCAUAACUCACCGGAAACACCGGCGCCGAUAACGAUGACGGAGGAACGAGAAGGAGAAUCCAUUAGGGGAGGAAUUGAAAAAAAGAGAGAAAAGGAAAAUAGAAGAAGGUAUUGAAAAAAUGUUAACGAGAAAUAUUGAAGAAAUAUAGCGGGAGUCGGUUUAUAUAGUUUUUUUCAGGACUCCCCUCUCUGAGUUGGAGAUUUAUUCCCAAUUCUAUACUCCAUUAUUUAACGUUAAAUAUAGAUUAAAUUUUCGUUUAACCUAAUAAUUAUCUUAAAAGAUUCUGUUUAAUCAAUACUUUUAAAUAGUUUACAAAUUUUAUGAUUUAUAAAUAUUAUAACAAUUUUUUUAAAAUCAAAAUCUAAUUUCGAAAUAUAUUACAAAACAAUAAAACAUGAAAUAGUAAAAUCCAUUAUUUUUAGAUUUGCUAGAAAUACAAAAAUUUGAAAAAGAAAAAAGGAAGAUUUCAAGGUCAUUUUCUUUUAACCCACUAGACUAUGAAUUGACAUCUUACGCGGAAUUAGGAAGGGUAAGGGUAUUUCUGUCAUUCCAUAAUUUUUUCUUUUAUUUUUUAUUUGAACAAAUAAAAGAUAGAAUUCAUUUAUUUUAGGCCACAGAAAAUGAAAUAAAAUUUUGUAUUGAUUUAUUAAAAAACAAAUCCUAUAAUUAUUAUUUAAUCACUUCUCAAAUGUUCUUUCUUUUCUUUGUUUUCGUGAAAUUUUUCAAAGAUAGUCAAUUAAUUUGUAGCAAAAUUGUAACCCAACUUGCCUACAUAAUUAAUAGUUAAGUAUUAAGGGAGAAAGAAAACAAGGGUUUGUUUUUAUGAUAAAUGUCACUUUAAAUUUUAUGUGGUUCAAGAAUUCCUAUAUUUUUUUGACACUUUUUUAAAAAAGAAAAAAAAAAAAGAGACGUCCAAAUAAAAUGUUAUACUUUAAUAUUAUUCACAUCAUUUAUAUAUCAAUUCAAUUUGCUACAAACAUAUUAUACACUUCAAAGUUUACUUUAAUAAAACUAAAAAAAAAACGUCUAAAUAUUGUAGUUUAAAUUAUUCAAAGUAAAAAAAUGUUAAUAGUUUGGUUCGAGUCUUCCUUAUUUUUAUUGAACUACAUAAAACAUUGUUUUAUAGAAAGUGAUAUUUGUUAAUUGUUGCUACUUGUUUAAGGUCAUUAUUCAAAUUAUUUAAGUGUGAGGGGCAAUAUCGGAAAUUGAACAAGUCAAAUAACAUAUAAUAAAUUUAUAAACAUUAGUUUAAGAGAAAGUAAUAUUUUUAUAAUGUCAAUCAAUGGAGAAAAAAUGAUGGUUGUACUUGUACUAUUGUACCCUGCAUUCCUCCUUUUCUAUAUGCCAAACAAGUUGAAAUAUAUAUAUAUAUAUAUAUAUAUAUAUAUAUAUAGACUUUUUUUUUUUCUUUUCAUAUUGAUUGAAUUAUUAAAAAAGUGUGCAUUAUAUUUCUUAAAUAGUUGUGAGUAGUUGCAUGAUAUGCAUGAUAAAUGCAUGUAGGUUUUGUUUGUACUCUUUGUUUUAUUGAAACAAUUUAUAUGUAUGUAUGUAUACACGCUAUAAGUUUAGUUAAAAGGAUUUCGUUUUUAAAUUAUAUAUUAAUAUCUAUCUCUUAAGCAAGUAAACAUUAUUGUUCAAUCGACACAAAUUUUGUAUUUCAAUUUUUAGGUCAGCGGUUCGAUUUCUCAACCUAUAUCAAACAUCAAAUAAUGUUUGAAUCACUCGCUCCAAAUAAUAAUUGAAUUGUCGUACAAAAUUUUUGUAAGGAAUAUUAAUUAAAAUGUAUACUAUAGCCUUUUUGUUGUUGGUAAUAAAUAAUAUAUAGUAUAGUGAAUUGAUGGAUGGCAUGGGGACGUGAAAUAUGGGAAGGAAAUUAAGUAGAAGCAAUUUAUUGUCGCAUUGUAUGAUAAUUAUAUUGAAUAAAAACAAGUAUUGAAUUAGAGUGUUAAUUAAUCCUAAUGAGAACAAGGUUAAUCCGACGUGUAAGGAUUAGCACCCAUGAUUAAGGGAUAAUUAAAUAACACUAAGCAUUGUAAAAUGGGGGGUUUUGUCAUAAAAUAAAGUACUAAAAGGUUAAAAUAUAAUUUUAGGUAUUAGGGCUUCACCUUUUACCAUAUUGUUUUUAAAUUAUUGUUUUGAGGAAAACCUUUUUUAGAUUAAAAAAGAAAAAGAAAAAGGUUGAAAAGUACACCCAAAAAAAUAUGUAUGCAUAUUGAGUUACUCGAGACUUUGGCUUUGAUAUAGAGGUUUGAAAGUUCAGAUUGAUCUUUUAUUGUAGAUCUCUCUUUCGUGUUUUUGUAGAAUAUAAUAAUCUGAUUGUGCUUUCCUUAUUUAUUUUGUUCAACAUAAGGCUUUUGUUUUGUCUGAAUUAGUGGGUUUUGUUGUUGAGAUCGGAAGAUAAGUCUAGUCGAUCCAUGUUGUCUCUUUUGCUUGACAUUCGUGUAAUAAAAAUGGUGCAUCGCUUAGUCCAUGUUGCGAUUGGGUUGAAUGAAUCGACUCUAAAAAGAAAAGAAAAAUGUUAUAUUUAAAAUUAUCAAAUUUGAAAGAGUUAUUGCCUUCAUCAUGAAUGUUCAAAAUAUUUUAAAGAAAAUGGCAGAAAAAUCUGUGGUAUAUUGAAUAUGUUUUUCUUUUUCCCACUUAUUGUCAAUAAUGGAAUAUAUAUUUUGACUCUAUUAUUAUUUUUUUUUCUCAGACUACAUUGAAAAAUGUAAAUAAUAAUAUUGGAAGAAUAAGUUCAAACUUUACACUACUUAACAGUGGACCCUACCAUAUGCAACUUUCUUAAAUAAUUAAGGGCAUUUUUGGUAUUCCCUCUCUUCUCAAUUUGUUAUACUAUUAUACUAUUUGGAGUUUGUUAUCUUAAAAUUAAAUAAAGUCUUGAGAGCUUAGAUGUCAUAUAGGUAAGUGAGAGUCUCUCUUUAAAAAAAUGUUUUCUAACAAACUAAUUUUUAUUUAAAAUAAUUUAUUUUUUAAAUUAGACACUUGAGUACUCUUUUUCUUUUAAAUUUAUUGACAUGGAUGGAACCAUUGUUUUUAUAAGAUUAGAUAGAGACUGUGAAAUGGGGAAAUGGGGAAAUGGAGAAAGGAAGGUUUUGGUGUAACGCAACGGUGAGGUCAACGUCAGAAGAUGUAAGCAUUGAAUGGGAGUGGGACCCAAAGGAUCAAAGAGAGUGAGAAGAAAAAUUAAGAAAAAAGGGGACCCGCAGCGCACGUGUCGAAGUAGAAGCCACACGUGUGGGGGGAAGAAAGGAGGGGUAAUGUGUGUCUGUGACGGUGCUCAUUUUGACAGCUAGGUAACCGGCGGCCGAUUGUUGGAAAGGAAAAAGGAACAGGCAAAGGUCCACGUUGCCCCUGUUGUUUCUGCUUCCAAACACUCUGUCCCGCUAAACUAUCCCUUCUGUUUUCCCACCUCAUCUUUUUCUAUUUUCCUUUUUUUCCAUUUUUGUAUCUUAUGCCUUUAAACGACUUUUAUUUUAUUUUUUUAAUUUCUUUGUUAUUUAACUUUUCUUUUCCUUUUCAUUUUUUCACUAAAUAUAAACUAUCUUUUUUUUUCUCAAAUAUAAAACAUCCUAACAAAAUCGUUCGAAUAUUAGAUAAUCAAAUCUAAAUAUGUACAUAAACACUCAAAUCUAAUACAAAAGUUCUUUAAAUUUGAAUGGCCAAAUUUAGAUUAUGUAUAAAAAAAAGUCUUUAUACAAAAUUUAAACCUAUCAAAUCUAAAAAAUGGUUUAUCAAAUUUAUUACCUAAGCGUUGUAGAUAUUUUUUGUAUUUUUUAUAGGUACGUGUAUAAAAAUUAAUUUAAUAUAAUAUGUCAAAUUAAAGUUCAAUAGUCAUUUUAAAAAAGCAAAAUAUUGUAGUUGCGUUCUAUUUUUCUUUUAUUUAUUGUUCCUAAGAUAUAUUAUUGUAGUCGUGUAUUUGAUUUCCAAUGUUUGACUUCUCAUAUUUUAUUUGGAUGAAUUUAUUUUUCUAAACCCGAAUCAUCUUUUAUAAUAUUUAUUUAAAUUUGAGGAUAAAAUAAAAUAUGAUUACUAUGAACUUUAAUAAAAUUUCAAAUUUGGAAAAUACAUUUUUUUUCAUUUAGAAAUUUAAAAGAAAAUCCAUAAAACAAAUUAACCUAAAUGCCAAUUUUAAUUUAAGAACUGAGAAUUAGUUGUUUAUCAGCAUCGAUUAUAAAUAUCUGAUUGGAUAUGGACUAUGAACAUAUAAUGACAUAAUUAUAGAUUAAUAAAUUAAUUACUAAUUAUUAUUAUUGGAGGAGGAAAAAAAAUGUUGAUUGUUAAGCUAUGUCAACCACAGAUUUAUAAAAUGGAAAAGAUAUAUGAAAACCUCAUUUAAACAAGAUCUUAGUACCAAAGAUCUUACGUUAAAUACAAGAUCUAAUCUAUUUAAGUUAUUAAUUGACCUUUGACAAAUGUGGCAUCAAUUUUAAUCAUAAGAUAAUUAUCUUUUUUAAUUUAAAAAUCGAUUAUCUAAGUCAAUAUUUAAACCAGUAAUUAAUUAGUGUAACAAAUAAAUAAAAUUUUUAAAAUUAAACAUAUAACAAUAAUUACAUAUUCCUAAACCAAAAUGUCAACUCUCAAACUUUUUGCAGUUCUAUAAAUUUUUUUAAAUAAUUAGAUAAUUAAAAAUAUUUUAAUUUGUAAUUUAUUCGAGUAGAAAUUUUGUUGAGUGUUAUGGAUUUGUUUUAUUCCAAAGGGCAUCUUCAAACUAUUUGAAUAAACAAACAAUAAAGAUUAGUUGUUCUUUUUAGUCAAGUCCUUUAUAAUUAAAUUACAAAGACUUUUAUUUUUCUUUUUUCUAAAAUCUUAUUGUAUAUUGAUUAAUAAUAAUUAUAUAAAUGUUGGUUGUUAUAAUAUUUGGUUAUUUUUCCAAAAAGUAAUAACUACGUUAAGAUGUAAAGUAUAUAUUAUAAAAAUAUAAAUUAACAAAUAAUACCGUACGCGUUGGUAUUAGUGGAUGAAUUAGAUUUUAAAUAAUGAAUCCAUUAGUUAAAGAAUAGGGAAAAUGUAAGUCUACCCUUUAUAGUAAAUCCAUUAAUAAUGAAUACAUAAAUUUUUAAUCUUGACGUCAUAAUAUAUAACAAAUUAGGAAAUGAUUAUUUUAAAAAAUAUAUAGUAAGCAAUUUAUUUUGCUUUCCUUUAUCUUCUUUUUUGAAGAUAAAAUUAGUCACUAAAAAGAGGAAAAGAAAGAGAUGUGAUAAGUGAUCCCAUAACGAAAUCGUGGCAAUGAAAUGUUACAGGAAGGUGACGCGUGGCACUUGCCUUGCUGUACAUGGGGUCCACGCUGACAAAUUUAUGGGCAUUUAUAUCUUUAUAAACUUUUUUUUUUUCAUAAUAAUAAAAUUAUAUAUCCAACGAAACAAAAAUAUUUAAUAAUAUGACAAUUCAUUAUAUAUAGUUUUCUCGUCCUUAUUCUAUACACAUUGUAUUCUAUUCUUAUUUUAAAAAAUUUAUCGUAUCUAACUUCGGUUCAUAAUUUUUUUAAAAAAAAGACAAAUUUUUCUAUACAUUUUGAAAUGACGUUAAAAUUUAUGAAUUAAAAUAGAACUAAAAUGAGAUUUAAAUCUUUAUAUGUCUAUUAAAAUAUCAUGUAAAGAAUAAGUAAAUGAGCGUUGCAUGCAUUCAAUCAACUUUGUUAAUGAUACCAAAGCUUGAAUUCUUAAAACGAUUUCUUAUAAUUAUUUGUUCCAUAUUCUCAAAUAAAAUUAAGAUGAAUCCAAAUAAUAUCCUUUUCAGUGUGACGGUGGUUUAUUAAAAAAAGAAAGAUAGAAAUUUAGAGUCGUAAAGAAAUAAAAUUAAGAUUCUUCCUUUUGUUAAUACAAAAUAAAUUAAACAAUCUUUUGGUCAUAAUGAUUCGGUUUUUGUUUAUAAUAAUUGUAUCAAACAUGAUUUUUAAAAAAUAUAUCUAUCCUAUUACACCUUUGUAAUUUUUGUUUUUCAAAAUUAAACUUUUUAGUUUUUACCUUCCACCUAUAAUUCAAGAAAAAAGUGCAAUUUUGAAAAAUACAAAAUGUAAUUUUAAGAUUUUCUUUUAAAAUUCAACUACGAAUUAAAUCGCUAUAAUUAAAAAAAAUGAAGUCAUUAUUAAAAACGAGGAGAAAAUAGAUUUGAUUUAAAAAAAACGACAAAAAAACAAAAUGUUACCGAACGAAUCUAAAUAAUAUAAAUAUUGUUUGAUAGACAAGAUAUUAAUUAAUUAUAAAAAAAACAAUUCUAGAGAUUAAAUAAAUUUUUUCAAUAUAGAAAAAUAGUGAAACUAUUUAACCUUCAUAUAACAAACCAUUAAAAGAUGAAAAUUAUUACACCUGAUUUUUUAUGAAAUGUAAAUAUUUUGUUAAAUGUUUGAUAAUUUUCUCAUUUUUUUAGGAGUAGAUGCAAAUUUAGCAUUCAAAAUAAUUAAGUAUAUACCAACAUUUAAAAAAAAAAUUAAAUAUAACAAAAUUUGUCAAAUUCUAUAAGAUCGUACGAGUCUAUAUAGUUUGGUUAUAUUUGUAAUUUUUUUAAAUAUUGUUAUAUAUUUAAUUAUUAUUUGUGUAAUGACUCUCAAUUAUAAUUACUUAUUUUUUUAAAAAAAUUAUGUAUUUUAGGAACUAUUCUAAAAUUGAAAGAAAGAAAAGAAAAAAGAAUGACAAUUUAGGAAAGGAAAGAAAUAGUUAAAAAAAUAAAAAAGGAAAAUGGAUAAUAUUUAUUUUGAGUACAAAAUGGAUUGUAUUUAAAGUUUGGAAUUUUCUUAUCAUUCUUUCUCCUCUAUCUUUUUGGGAGAAUAUAAAAGACAAUAGAUUUAUGGGUGUUGCUUCAAAUUUGAGCAAAAUGACAAUGAUAUAUAUGCAUUUAUGGAAUUAUGUAUUUUUAUUUAUUUCUUGUUUUGUACCCUUUUUUCUUUUCCUCAAAUAUUAUUCAAAUUCUAUUAAAUUUUGGAAGUUUCUAACAUAGGUACCAAAAAUUGACUCAAUCCUAUCACUAAUUUUUUCAUCAAUUUCUCCCUUUUGUUCUUUUCCUUAUAACCAUUUUCCAUUUCGGUAAAUAUCAUAUCCAUUCUUAAAUUUAAAAAAAUUCCAAAUCUAAACAUUUGAAACACUAUAUUAUUGUUUAAAUUGUAAAAAUGUGAAUAAACUAAUUAAAACUUUCAAACAUCAUAUACAUAUAAAGUACACAUUACAUUACUUACCUUUACCUUACUUUUAAGUUACUCUAUGAUACCAAUUAAGAAAAAUUUGUGUUCAUUUAAACUUUAGAUAUUUUUUUAUAUCAUCAACCCAAUAUAGCAAAGUUUAUACUAAUUAAACAUGUAAAACAACAUACACUCAAUAUCGAACGUUGUCUACGUAACACCCAUGAUGCAUUUAAAAAUCUAUUUACAAGAAUUUUGCCCAAAUACAAAACUAAAAUCUUAUAUUUAAGCUUAACCCAUUUGAUUAGAAUAUAUACAUGUAGAAAUGGUUUUUUUCACUCUCAUUAUCAUGAGAAAACAAUAGUGUGGAUUAUUUAUUUAUGUAUUGUUUUUGUUGUUUAUUUAUUUAGGGGUUAAUAAUUGUAAAAGUGGGGUUGAAAUGACAAAGGGAUAAAGCAAAGUCUAUAAUUAAAGAAAGAGAAAGGCCUAAAGGAAAAUUAUGUUUCCUUACCAAAGUAGGGAGCAAAAUCUUAUGGAUAGUGAUGGAGCUUUCUCAAGAUUCUAUGCAAUUUGUCUUUUUUUCAAAAUAUUAUUAAUAAAAUUUUAAGAUUACAUAAUGAAUAAUUCAAUUCCAUUUUUAUAUAUUAAGAAGGAAAAACAAAACCCUUAAUUUAACUUCCAUUUAUUACUUCAAAUUUAGUAUUUUCUUUUUUCUUUUUUGUAUAGAUAACAUUUGAAAUAAUUAAAGUAGUGUAUUCUCAUAAUGGAUAUUGGAUAUAUGUUUUGCUUGGAAAGCAACCUCUUUUUUCUUUGGAUUUUUAUGGUGAUUAUACAUAGUUUUCUCAAAAUAAUUCUAUGUGCUUUUUUGAAAUAGAAUUAGAUGAUGUGAAAACGCAUUAAUUAGUUUAUUGGUCACUAAUUUGUUUUUAAUUACUUUUUCUCACUAUGUGUAUGCGUGUGGAAAUUUUUAACUUCUAGAAAAUGAAUAAAUCAAAGUUAAUAUUGUUUCUUUCAAAACCAUGCAAAGUUUGUAAUAGUGAUGUGCACUAAUGUAUUAUUGGUACAAAAAUCAUCUCUAUAUAUUACUUCUUUAAAAAGAAAAAGAACUCUAUGCUUUGCACAAACCAAUAUAAUGAAACUUGAUCCAAAUUAAUGAGCUAGAGAACUACUAAUUAAUAACAAUUUUGAAAAUGAAGUGAACAAUAGAUAUGUGUGUGUGUGUAUAAUAAUAUUCAUUUUUAGGAUAGAACUUCUAAAUUUGCUCAAAAGAAACCCAUAUUGAAUAUAACAUAUUUGUUCUUAGCUUAACUUUGCAAUCAAGUUUGGAAAAAAUGGGAUGAUAAAAGAGAGGAUAGAGUAAGAAUAUAUAAGAGCAUUAAUGUAAUGGGGAUGGUGAUGGUGAUGGUGAUGUGUGGUAAAUUUUGCUUUGGAUUUCAGUUUGGUCACCUCCCCCACUCAACUUAGGUUUUUGAGAAUAAUUUGCAUGAAACCAUAUAAUAAGUCAAAAAGAGAGCUCCAAAAAGGAAUUAACUUAAAGAAUAAGCAAAACUCAACAUAUGUUUGGCUUUUCUAUAACUUAAUGAAUCAAAAUCACUUUCCACUAACCCUUUUCCCUUUGUUUUUGGGUGACCAAGUCGAGGAGUUUGAACUAAUUCAUGCAAUGUGUGUAGACACAUAUUUAUUUUCUAAUGCUUGAAAGUGUACUCAUAAAGAUUUGUUUUCCGUCAUUAUGUUGAUGAUCACUAUAUAUAUAUAUAAGUAAUUUAAGAUGAUUUCUAGAUUGAAUUACAUGACUUUGUUCCGUUCUGUACAUUCACGUAAUGAUUGUGGAAGGAAGAGUUUGCUUGAAAAUGAGAUCAAAGUUUUGCAUUGGACUACUAGAUAAAAGGUUGAAUAUAGAAAAGAUAGUUGUCUAUCUCUAAAAGCAAUGAAAUCAAGUGAACAAUAUUAUACUAUUGUGGGGAUAUUUGGAUGUUCGGUCGCUCCUCGCACACACAUACUCUAUAUUUUAUAUUAGUAUCAUUUGAGAGAUAAAAGUUUGAUUUAUUAAGUGUAAAUGUGUAAAGUCUUUUGACAAUUAAGAGAAAACACAUAAUUAUUACAUAUAGAUUUUAAGAUCUUAUAUUCAAUGAUGCACGGGAUGACAACGGGACACGAUGUCCUUAAAUUUAGGGGUCUAAGUCCAAGUUUUCUUGUUGUCACACACCAUUUGAUGUUCAAACGAGAAAUUCAACGAGAAAAGAAAACAAUAAUAAUGCACCAAAAUAGUUGAGUUGUGAGACUUCAUGUGUGAAAAAGAUGACAUAUGAAAGUUUAUAGGUUUGUUUAUAAUUACCAAAUGGCACUAUUACAUAUAUAUGCAUACAGGCCUCCAUCCAUUUGAACCCAAUUUUCUCUAUUCAACCUUCAAAACUUGUAAAGAACCCAAUCUUUUUCUCUCUAAAAGAAGGGGACUUAUCAUUAUUAUUCCCAUAUAUAUGUAAUGUAAACAAGGGUAGCUAGUGGAGCACUUUGAUUAAUCUGUCCUUUCUUUGACUUUCUUUUCCUCCAAUAUUAGACCAUAUAUAGCUAGGGUUUAAUGUUUCCCCUCCAUGGGUAAAACUUUUAAUUAAAGGAAGACCUUAUAAAGGGUAAGAAUUGAAACCCUAUAUGUGUCCAUUAAAGUUGGAGCAGUCAUAGGUUUAUAAAAAAAUGGUGGUAAUAUAUAUAUUAUAUAUCUCUACUAUAGCAAUAACGAAUCCAAGCUUAAAAGUUAGUUCACGCCAAUUUAAGUUAAAUGUGAAUUAUAUCAUAUAUAUAUAUAACUUAAAAAUGUAUGCUCAUAAACUAUGAAGUUCAUGGAAGCAAUAUGUAAGUAUACACACAAACUUUCCGUCCAUGACUUUAGUGACAAACAUCUAAAAAUGUUCAAAGUUUGAAAAUAAAAACGAAACAUUUUAAGCGUUUAAACGUAGAUUUAAUAAUAUGAUUUGAAAAGAGAAUUAGAUAAUAAAUGGAUAGGGUGAAAGAAUGAUGAUGAAAAGUUGAAAAGAAGGAGGAUAUGAUGAAUCAAAAUAUAUGAUAAUAUAAUAUAAAAAAGGUUCCCUCUUGAGAGCCAAAGAUGAUGAUAAAUUUGAAACAAAUUGAUUACAAUAAUAUAAGCAAUAAUAACCCAAAGAAAAGAAAAAUGGGAAAAGAAGAAUCUAAAUUGAUAAAUGGAAAAAUGGGUCCAUAUGAAAUAGGAACCUAUAAUAGAAUGGCUAAAGAAUCAUUCAUUCUGUCUUUCUUUUUUUUUUCUUUCUAUAUAUGAACACUUGUCUCAUUCCCAUUGGUCAUUGUGGUGCAACUAUGAAAAUCCAACUUUUUUUGAAAAUUUAUGUGUGAAUGUUAGAACAUGAAAGGAAUCCAAUUCUAAAUCCAAUCAUUCCUCACAAAGAAAAUCCAAACAUUCCAUGAUUUUUUUAAAUAAAGUAUGAGUUCUCAUGGAUUUGUUAGGAAGUGUUGAAAGAGAUUGGUGAUGAUCAAUUCAUCCACAUGUUGAUGGAUUUUGAAAUUUUAAGUCCAUUAUUUAAACAUUAUAUGAUCAAAAUAGGAGAUUUUUAUGUGCUAAUAAUGGAGAUUGUUUCAUGUUCAAAAUCAUGUCAAAAAUCACUUCAAAUUUCUAAAGUAAAGUUAUAUUGUGGAUGUGACCGAAUAUGACGGUUUAGAAUGAUAUUUCAUUUUCCCAUCUUUCAAAUCAAAUAAUUUUACGAAAAAAAUUAUGUUUAGAAACAAGAAACAACAAUGUUUAGAAAAUAAAAAAAUAAAAUAUUUAUUUUGUAGUUUCAAGCACUUAACUUUUUAACAUUGCAUCUAUUCAUCCACAAACUUUUAAAACUUUUAACAAUAAAAUUCUUUUAAUUGAUUAGACAUAAAAUUCAAUUUUACAUACCAUAUACAUCAACUAAUCUUCAAACUUCAAGGAGGUCUUUAAACAAAAUUUAAAACUUGUUAGAUACUUUUUGUAAUUUAACUCGAAUCUUAGCAAUUUUGGUUGAAGAGAUCAAGUAGGGAAUAACUUGGUGUGGUGUUUCCUCUUGAAGUUGGUGUGUCCUAAAAAAGAUAUACAACUCUAUAUCAAAAUGAAAGUGAUCAGAGACUUAAUUAACAUACUAUAUAGCAAACUUUAUUAAGUAUUGUUAUUGAAGAAGAAAAGAGGUUGUUGGUACUCAAUCAAUGAUGUGCCGUAAAAAGGGAAUGAGAGAAUAUUAUGGUUUUUGUGGGAUUUGUCAAAUCCAUCCAUCCCUUUAGAAUAUAGAAAACAAAUUCCAUAAACUGUCAUUUAGUAUACAAAAGGAAUAUUAUUAGCAUUGACUCUCAAUAUCCAAAAUUAUUGGGUGUUGAAACAAACAAACAUUGGUCUCACAAACCCACAAAUCCCUUCAAAAAGAAAAAAGAAAAUUACACCUUUUUCCAAUGCUUUGUUUUCUGUUUUGAAAAUAGAUUGAUGGGUUUGUUCUUCCUUUUAUCCAAUUUCUUAUGCCACUGUUUGGACUUUGGAGAAGGUUUGGUUGUUGCCUUUCUCAUUGCUCCACUGACCAAUCCCUUAUUGCUUUUCUCACUGCUUUCAGUUUCACAUUUCAAAGUUUUCAACCUUUUUUUAUUUUUCCUUUCGUUUCAAGUCAUGAUUUUUAAAUGGGUUUAUGUAUAUGUAUCUAAGUUUUCAUCAUAUUGACUCACUAUUGUGUGCUCUUCUAAUUCCAUUCACACAGAUACUUGGGUUGUUUUCUUCCCAUUUGUCUAUUUCUUUAAAUGUUUUGAUACCAACUUCUCUAUAGACUACUCCUAUUCAAGAAUUUCUAAGAAGGUAGGUCGUUUUUUAAGUUUUCUUUUCUUUAACCAACAUUCAUUGAAUGUACGUGGAUAUAUUGAAUUCUUUGGUAUCUUUUCAUUUCAAAUUUUAGCUUUGUUUGAGUGGCAUAUUCCAUAGUCAACAAUAAUUGAUAUCUACUCCUUUUUAAAAGAUUGAAAGUUCAAAUCUCCGGCUAUCUUUAUUUUUUAUACUAAAAGAAGAAAGAGAAAAAGGUGGCAUGAGUCAAAUAUUUGAGCUUGUGAAUGCUCUCUUUUAUAAACUAUUUGAUUGAAGAUAUUUUUAUGGAAAGUUGAUGGGCUAAAUGUCACUUUGCACAUAGACUGAGGCUAAGGAGCCCACCACAUGUUCCUAAAAUUAGAGCCAAGUAUUGGGAUAGGUUUGUUUGGAUGAAUGAUCUUAAUCAAAGUAUAAAAUCAAAAUGAAUAUUAGAAAAUAAUAAUGUUGAAACCUUAUUAAGCAUCGAACAAUGACUUGAAUUAGUCAAUCAUCCCGCAAGGAAACUUGGCAUGAUAUGAUCUCCGUAAAACAAGGUUCAAAGUUUAAUUAGAGUUGAGUCAUACUCAUAUUGGCUAGACUUAUAUUACAUGUAACAGGAAAAUAUAACACAACGAAAAGUUGAAAAUAUGCCCAAUCUUAGAUUACAUGGAAAUAAGAGAAAAACUUUAAUCACUUCCGUUCUUGUUAACGGAACAAAAAACAAGUACAUAAGUUUCUCAAAUGAGAGUAUCCAAGCUUCAUGGAAGAAAAGAAUGUCUCGUCUUCGAAAGCGAGUAUUGGGGUUAGAAGAUAAUGUAUUCUUCAUCUCCGUCGUACAAAGAAUCUUAUCAAGACAUGUAUUCAAUUAGAAGACACAAAAUGCAACUAACAGCAAAAUAUGCCAACAUGAUAAGAGCCAUUAUUUUGAUGUUUGAAAGCUGACAAGCAAACGAUGGAUUAUUUCAUAUAAGAAGACUGAUAAAUCCUAGAUUUCCUCCAGAAUAUAAAUCGCUCUAUCUUUUAUAGGCAGCUGUAAAGUAGGGAACAUAGCUGGAAGAAGGUCAAUGGACAAGUUUUAGGUAAGCACAACCAGGAUCACAGUGAAAGAUACCAGAAGAUCAUGCAAUAGGGCAACUGGCUACAGUUAAACACUCACAAUGAAAGAUACAAGAAGAUUAUGGUAAUGUGACGGGCCACGGUAUAACAGUAUGAGAAGCAUCUCGAGUUGAGCUGUAGUCCAAUUCCAGGCGUUGCAAGCCAUAUGCUAGAGAGCUAGAGCUCCUCUAGCAGAAAUCAAUUCUGAUAUUCAGAUUAGCUCUGAAAAUACCAUACAUGAAGGUUUGUUGCCAAGGGUUGGUUGCCUUGAGAAGAAACAGUAGUCCCAUUAAGCUUAUGGUGGGUGGGGACAUUGGUCAAGAGCACAUUUUCUUCUGUAAAAUACAAAUAUGAUACAGAUAUUAGCAAUGUAAUCGGAAAGGAAACAUAAAAGUAGAUGCAUAUACCAUGUGACAAAUGCAAUUGAAAUGAAAUUUUGUUGAACAUAAAUUUGGAAAUCAGUAGUGUGUUAGGUACCCAAACCCAAAAAUUAUGUGAAAACACCAAUAACGAUAUUGCAAUGUCUGAUGAAAUUAGAAUAUAAACAAGUGAUUCGAGGUACUUGCAUUUUCUCUCUUGACAUCUCUCUCAAGUCCUAAUUUACUCAAUAAUGCCUAACUUCAUCCCUUCCCACUCUCUUAAACCUAUCCUUGAACCAAUAUCAUUCCAUUUUAUCAUGAAAGAAAAUAAGUGGUGACUGCUGGGAUUGUAAGAGUUACACUCUAUUUUGAGAAAUUAUUUGCAAUCAAUUAGAUAGAGAAUGAGGAAAGAAGCGCUUAUAUGUUAACAAAUGGAUCAUUCAGAAUCAAUACCAUCAAGAAACUUUACUUGUAAUGAAAGAUACAGUCUAGUCACUGCCCCAUCACGAGACAUUUUUUUAUAAAAUGUGAUCUACAGUGAACCUGAAUAAGCACAAAAACUUGGAGUUGUAAAAAGUCUUACCGAACAAGAAUUUUUUUUUUUCAUAAAACAAGCAAGAAAUAACAAAAGAAACAAGAUGGAAUUUUUCGGUUUAAACUUGUAGUGCGACAACUAACAAAUUAAUGAAAUCUACCUGAAGAAUUGAGAAGAAUGCCUUGCACUAAUGAAGACAUAGGUCCCUUGAAAAGCCAUGCCCCCAUAUGGAUCUACAUUCUUCCACACUACUGAAACGUUUUAGUAAUGGGUCCUUGUCAAGCCAGGUUUCACUGCAUCAAGCCAAUAGGACAAAGUUAUGUAAAAGGGACAAGUUUUGGUACAUGAGAACAACAUUAGAUCAGCUGGAAGAAAAAAAACACUAGAAAGUGUUAAUAGUUAACAAAUGAUUUUUGUAUUUGUUAGAGAUUAAGUUAAUUUCUAGUGUUUUAAAAAGCCCUCUUGGUAUGCCUAGGCUCAAGGCCCAGGUCUGCCGUCUCGCCUUGAAAAGGCUUGUGCCUUGAAAUUUUUAAUUAUUUUUAGAAAAUAGCAGUAUUUAGGGGCUUUCCUUGUCUAUUAACUAAAAAAUAAAAUUUACUAAGCUUAAAUGCAAAAGUUCUUCUGUUUAAGAGUUUUUUCUUUCAUAUUUGCUUCUCUUCUUAUUAUUGUACUUUUAUAUAUAGUGCGCCUCACAAAAGAAAAAACACAUGUUCUUUUUUGGCCUUGCACUUAAGCCCUAGAAGACUAUAGGGCUUCAUUGUGCCUUAAGCUUUAAAAAAACACUGGACUUUGUUUUGUUUUAAGCUUUUUGUUUACAAUUUCUCUAUAAAUUACUCUACAAAACAUUCUUUAUCAAUGAAAAAAAUCUCUUCCAUGGUAUCAAAGCAAGUGGUCCAAAAAAGUUGUGUGUUCAAGCUCUACAAUGUUAUUUCCUCUCCAAUUAAUGUUCAUUUCCACUUGUUGGGUCUUCUUCAUAUUUCAAAUCUAGAAACGAAGGGGUGUUGGAUAUUAUAUUAAAUUUGUCUUCACUCAUCAGUUUAAGUUUUUGGGUCAACUGAUGAUUUAAGAUGGUGUCAGAGAUGUUCAUAUAGGAUAGAAAAAUGAUUGACAUGACACUGCUAUUUUUAUUACAUAUAUCAUAUGUGUGGAUUGAACCUACAACCUCUUGAAAGAGCAAUGCCUUACUUGCGGAGCUAUGCUCAUGGUGCCAAGAUAAUAACACUAUUAUAAUAAACUGUUAUGCAGAAUCAUAAAUAAGCACCAAUUUACCUCGCCGUCGUUAGUGGCAAUCAACUUAUUUUCCAAUCUUUGAGCAUCCUCGGUCAUGCCUUGUGCUUUUAAGGCUCGAAUCAUUGUAGCAAAUGUAAUACCAUCAGGCACACAUUUAUUCUCUUUCAUUUCCAAGAACAACUCUCCCAUUUUUCUCACAUUACCAGCCUGGCCAUACACAUUGAUAAGGCAGUUAAAAAGAGGGGUAUCUGGUACCACAUCAGAAUUUUCUAUUUGCCUCAAAAUCGAAUCAACUUUCUCAAGAUCACCAGAUUUACCAUAUGCAUUUACGAGGGAACAGUAAGUCACAGAGUUAGGCUUCAUUCCCUGAAAUUUCAUAUUUUUGAAGUAUUCUUCCAUCUCCUCAAUAUUUCCAGCUCUUCCAAAAGAAUCAAUAAUUGUAUUCAUAGUAACAAUUGUUGGAGAGAAAAAGCGUUUUUCCAUGAAAUUCAAAACAGAUUUCAUCUUGUCAUACAUUCCAGCUUUCCCAUAUGAGCUGAUCAUAGAAUUGUAUGUCCAAAUGUCUGGCUCGAUUCCCAUCAGCUGAAAUUCCUUAUACCACUUCUCCAUCUUCUCAAUCUGCUCACUAUUUCCGUAAGCUCUGAUAAAAGUAUUGAAUGUAAUCAAAUCUGGAGGGCAGCUAUCACUUUCAAUCAUUUCAAGUAACAAGCUUUCCAUUUGCUCAAACAUUUUAGCCUUUCCAAAUCCAUUAAUAAUAGUAUUGUAAGUGACCGUAUUACAUGUGAUCCCCAGACAGGACAUAUCAGCCAGUAUCUUCUUCAGAAGAUCAAAACGACGGAGUCUUGUGCAACAAUCAAUGAGAAUUGAAUAUGUAUGUACAUCUGGCUUGCAGUCAGAAAUCGAUUUCAUUUCAUCGACUGUUGAAAUGGCCUUGUGAAGGAGGCCACUUUGACCAUAAGCACUAACAAGAGCAGUAUAAACAUCAAUAGAAGGUUUCAACCCCUCAGAAAACAUAAUCUCAAAGAGCAAACUUGCUUGCUCGGGUUGCUUGCACUUACCAAGAAGCAUCAACAAUUUUGUGUAUGUUUGGCAUCUCGGUUCAUACCAUUGUUGCUGGCGAAGUAAUCCAAAAAUCUGAAGAAAUACAAAAUUAUUUGGUCAUAACUCUCGUUUUAAAAAUACAAGAGCAAAAUCAGUUCAUCAGUCAUAAGUUUCUUCAUUUACAAUAUAUGGAAAUGUUGUAUCAAAUUUUUUUUUUUUUUCUUUUUUUCAAUAUACUUCAGAAAACGAUGGAAAUGAAUUUCUGAAACCUAUUUGAACACUAACAAGACAGGGUGCAGGGGGUGCAGGGGUUUUGAACAAAAGAAAUAAAAGCAAACAUCGCACCGAAGCAGUCUAUGAGUGAGAAAAACGAAAGGACGUACAAGAGUAUACCAAACAAAGCCAACAAAAAAAUAAGUCCAAACACUAUCUAAAGAAACAGAGUUAUAUCUAAGAGAAUCAAAAUCAAGCUCAUAGUUACGGAAAUGAAUCAAAGGAUGCAUUAAACCUACUACCUAACAAACUCUCAAAUUUCCUCACAAGAUCCCAAAACAAUCGUAGAGGAAUUUUCUUGGGGACAACACCCUACCAUGAUAAAUCAUCCCACAUAUAAAAAAGGUCGAUAGCGUUAAUUUGUUCAUGAAAGAAAUGUCGGGUAGAAGAAGCUUUGGCAGUCAUGUUGAAAUUGCUAAAACUAGAGCUCUGCAGAACUUCCAGUGCAAAAGGAUUCUGAAAGUAUACCAAACGCACUCAGAAUUUUCAGCUUACCCGUGCGUGCGUGCAUGUUCAGGGUGAUUUUAAAAUAAUUGAAACCAUUUGAAAUACCCCUUGUCAUUCAAAAUCAAUUCAAUAUUUAAUAGUACAGUUUUAAAUGCAUUUUUUAUACUGUUAAAAUUUAUUUUGAAUGAUGAUCUUGAAGAUGAAAAAAGAAAGUGAUUUCAACCGUUUUAAAAACGGCAUCGUAGAAAUGAUUCAUUGAAGCUAUAGCUAACAAGGUUUACUGGGCAUUCACGUAGGCAUUAUCAAAGUAUUGAUAAAAGAUUAAACUUACACUAACGCAUUAAACUUAAACUUCUAGAUUGAUUAAUAAUACAACGUGGUAUCAAAACAAGAGGUCAAUAUCCUUUGUUUAAACCUCUAUAAAUAUCUCUCCUUAUUUUGAGCAAAUUCACUAACAAAAACCAACCUUAAGAGCAGUUUCCCAUAGAUUCUCCUGAAUAGCUUCAUCGAGAGCCUCCAAAACAGCUUUGGGCCAAAGAUUAUUAUAUUUCUUGGAGUUGGCUUUCCUCUCUAUAGCUUUAAUAGCAGCAUCUCUCCUCAGAAUCCGAGACAGACCCUUCUUCGGAUCUCUCUGUAGUGCGUCGGAGGACUGGGUGGAAGUCCGCUUAAGUGACCGCGAAUGAGAAGAAGAGAUGAAAUAAGGAGUGGAGCUCACGGAAGCCAUUGAAAUAACUUUGGAGGUAAAGGAAGUUGAGAAGCAACGGAAAACUGUAGCGUCGGGAGAGUGAAGGCAAAGCUCCAUUGAAAUAUCCCAAGAGAACCGGUGAACUACCGAUCAACCCAAUCCAAUUUUUAUUACUUUCCUUUUCUACGUCAGAAAUUUUGAUGGGCUUUUAAAUGGAAAAGUGUUUAUAGGAGGCCCACGUAAGGUGGCCCAAAACGGAAUAAAAAUGAUAAUGAGGGUUAUAAAAAAAAAGCACGCCUGAUGGGACUCGAACCCACAAUCGUCUGAUUAGAAGUCAGACGCCUUAUCCAUUAGGCCACAGGCGCUGUUGACGUUAACGGUAACGGUAACUUCAUUUUACAAUUGACCAUUUUAUAUAUUAAUUUAUUUUUAUAAAUAGAAAAAUUAAUCCUUCUUUUUUAAUUAUUAUUUGUCUAAAUUAAGAGAAUGACUUAAUACGAAUUAUAUAUUUUAUUCUUGAAAUAUAAUCAAUAACACUUCGUGUAAUUGAAAUUUGAAUUGUUUGAUUUUGAAAUUACUAAAUAAUGUUUAUAAAAUACUUGAUUUUGGUCUCUUUAAUUAACUAAAAACGAUUUAAAAACAUUUAUCUCACUGUCUUCUAUAACCCUUUCCCUCACUCUUCUUCAUCUUUCAUCACCAUCUAAUCUAAUCUAAUCACCACCACCUAUUGUCCUAAUAUUAUCCCUUACAAAAUAGUUUUUUUUAUAUAUAUAUAAAUAAUAACAAUUACUAUUAUUAUUUAAUUUCUGACCUCAUUCACCAAAAUUGUAAGUAAAAGGAGAGGGCAUAAGUGGAAAUAUAAAACAAGUUUGUGUUUUGAAGGCCCACACCAACCCCCAAAAAUGAGAACCAUCUUUUGUUUCCCGAGCUUGUUGGCGUCACAACGCUCGUAGUUGUAAAUGUAACGCCACUUUUUGCCGCGCUUCCCUCGUGGCCCACUUUGACGGAUAUUCCGCAUUUAUAUUCUUCCAUUCAUGCCCUCUUACCUUUACUUUAUUCCCAUUUCUUCCCCAAAUUGAAUUUCACUUUGGAAUAAAUCUAAUUUAACACUAUAAUAAUCACUUUUUUUUUACUCCAACAAAGAUUAGAAGAAACGUAAAAAAUGGAAAAUUUGAUCGAAUAAAAUUAAAUUUUUAGAUCUACUAAUAGUAGACAUUCAUCCACAGUCAGAGUGGUAUCUUUCUAUUCAGUUUCUAUAUUUGAAUUGUAUUCGGUAUAGUUUAUAAAUAUUUUAGUUUAUUUUACCAUAUUUGAAAAUGUCCUUAAAUACUAUUUAAGUCUUCAAUUAGUUUCCGUAAACAUUAUUUUAAAACUCUCAAUUUGCUACCGUUUUAUUAUUUGUUACUGUCUUUAUCAUUUAACAUUCAUAAUUUUUUUAUUAUUUGUUAUCGUGUUUAUUGUUCUCUUAUCAUACUAAAAUAGACUAACAUAUACUAUUAUAACUCAAAAUAAAACAAUUUACACAAAAAAAAACACAAAUUAUAAUAACUUACUUUUUGUUCUAAAGACCUCUUUAAUUUUUUUUAAAUGACACGUUUGUUUUAUUGUUUAUGGGGUAAAUAGUUGGUUUAAAUUAUUUUAGUUUGUUAAGAAAAACAGUAAAUGUUGUAGUAAAUAAUAAAAAACUGACGAAGAUAAAAUAGUAAAAACGGUAACAAAAAAAAUCUAUUGAGAUACUAGAAUUAAGUUAAACUAUUUGUAGUUAUUUUCGUCUAAUUAAGUCUUAUAAAACUCAACUAAUACAUUAAUUAUCUUGAACAUUUAAAAUCAACGUAUUUAAUAUCUAAGGAAGAAAAUUGGUUGUGACAAAAUUUACUCACCUUUUCAAUUUAUAUACCUAUUUGGUAUUUAACAUGACCUCACAUACAUUUCAAAACCUUUUAAUGUCUCCAAAUAAAUUAAAUAUAUUUAAUGUUUUUUCUUUCAUAACCAACCAAGCAGAAAUAAAUAAUUUAACUAAAAUGCUAGUUUUCAACUCUAUGCCUACCCUAUAAUAUAUAUAAUAAUUAAUCGGCUAGGCAGUAUAGAUUGAUGAACACUUUAUUAUUGUUUUUAUUAUUGAUGUAUGUGAUUUGAUCUUCUUCAACCUUGACUUGUUUUAAAUAAUAAGCAUUUAUUACUCUUAUUCAUUCUCUUAAAUAUAUUAUUGAGUUUAUUUACAUCACAUAUAUGUUAUAGGAACUCAUUCAAAUUCUUAUAUUGGGUUUUAUUAAUAUAUCUAAAUCAUCUCCAUCAUUUCUUUUUUGUCAAAAAUCUAUGAAACUGAUGUUUACACUUGAGGAAAUUUAAUAUAUAUUUACCAAAAAUUUCCUUCAUUUGGUUUGAAUAUUUUGUUGCAAACUUACAUGAUUGAUUUGGUUUACAAGUUCUCAAUGUAAUUGAUUUUAGAUUAUUUCCCCUACCAUGUUUGACAAAAUAAAUCACAAUCACUGUAUCCAAAUUCUAGCUAAAUAUGUCCAUAUAUAUUUACUUCAUUGAGUUGAGAGCUAAAGGAUAUAUAUAUACAUAUGUGUGUCAACUUGGCUAACAUGUUUAUGGAUACUCCUAAUACGCAUUGGACAUCUAUCAAACAUUUGGUGGUACAAUAGAUCAAUAGACAUCGAUAUAUGUUAGAUGUUAAAUAACGUUUGCUUCACAUAAAAAAAAAUGAAUGCAACCCUUGCCUUUGAAAAAAACUACUAAAAAGUGUAUAUAUUUUAUCAUGUGCAUAAAAGAAAGAGGUAUGUGAACUAAAGUGUAGUGUAGGUAUAUUUAAAAAAGUGCAACUUAGACGACACUAAUGCAAGCUAAGUUGUAACUAUUUAAAAAUAUCUAUGAAUAUUUUUUUAGAUUACUACAUUAAUGAUAAUAUUAUUAAAAUUAGUAGCAUCGAUAAAUAUAGCAAAAUGAACAAAAUACUUAUAAACUGUAGCUAUCAAUGAUAGUAUUAGUAUCUAUCAAUGACAUUGAUAAAUAUUAUUAAAAGUAUAUUAGUGUCGGUCAAUGUCAAUUAUUGAUAAAAUCUAAAAUUUUAUUAUGUUUUAUUUUUUAUUUGGUUAAGUUGAUAUAAUAAAAAAAUUUAGAGUUGAAAUUAGUAAACUCCAAAGUUAAUGGUAAAUUGAUAUAUGUGGAAUUAUGUAAUUCAAUAAUUAUUCUUUAAGGAAGGAGUUUAGAGAGAGAGAAAAAGUCAAAGUGAAGAUUGAAAGAGACAAUUAUGUUAGGACUUUAUUCUUACAAAGUCAUGCCUUUUUGUUUGAAAAUAAUUAACCCCGCAAAGCUACUUUUGAAAAGCUAACCUUACUCCUUCCUUCUUAACCAAAAUCACCUAUAUACAUAUUUUCAAAUAACAUUCAUAGUUACAUAUCCUUAAGUACAAAUUGAAGAAAUAUAAACUUAUGCUGACAUUAAAGUGUGCAAUAAUUGAACUAGGUAGAAGUUAAAAACCAUAUUCAAAUUGGUUUUAGAUUUGAAUUAAUAGUGAAUAAAAAAAAAUGGAAGCAAAGCAUUUAAUAUAUAUAUUUGUAAUAGCAAUAAUGUAUUUAUUUGUUUGCCUUAGGUUCUCAAAAUAAUAAAUAAUAAAUAAUAAAUAAAGGUACACGCGCCCUGAAGGGAAAUUCCAACGAAGCUGAACGCGAAGCCAGCUGUUCCUAUAAAUACCAUUCCCUCAACGCUCUUUUUCCAUUCUCUUAACCAUUCAUUUUCUCUCUCUACCUCUACCUCUACCCUCUCUUCUCCAUUUUUAUGGCCUUCCUUUGGGACGUCUUCUGAUUCUUCCUCAAUCGCUAACCCUCCAUCUCUCUCUCACAAAGACAUCCCCUUUCUCCCUUCGUAUUCCUAUUCCGAUCGUUGCACGGAUUGUUUCUCCAUUAUUAUUAUUGUUAUUCCCUUUCCCUUGGCGUUUCUCCAUGGGGAAGUUGGUCGAGAUUCUUGAUGCAGGUGCUAGGAUUGUCGCCAGAUUUCAUUCCCAUUGCCCUCAGACUGGCCGGAUGUACUACCAUCCUCCCGCUAACUCCGACGACGGCCAUCACUCUGAAGAGUUUCGCCUCGGCGGCGGCGUCGGCGAUGGCGAUGCGGCGUCUCAUCAGAUUGUUCCUUGCGUUGCCGAGCCCACGGCUGCUGCUGCUGCUGCUGUCUUAGUCGUCACCGUUGAGAGUAAUGAGUUCAUUCUUUACUCUGUUUGAUUGUGAUUGUUUGAAUGGAGAAGUUGUGGAAUGUUUGUGUGAGAAUUUUCUCUCCCAUCGUGAUAUGAAAAAAUUUGGAAAAAAUAGUUAUAGAUUUGUCUCUUUUUAUAUGCUUAUUGUUGAUGACAUUAUUUUGUUCGAGACGAGCAUCGAUCGUAUUCUGAUUCUUUGGAUGAUUGAUGAUUGACGGAAUUUGAAAUUGGUGCUUUUACAAAUGUACUAACCCAGUGUUCUUGCUAUUGACUUAUGAAUUGAUUGAAAAAUUUCUGUCCCAAGAACUUAGGCGAGAAUUUGUGGGGGAAAAUGUUCUUUUCUUUUGGUAAUAGCUUGUAAAAGAAAAGAAUCUGAAGCUAAUCAAACUUUCCAUUUCUUUCCCUUUCUUAUUUGUUUGGUUGUUAUUAAUUUUUGACAUAGAAAUACAGUAAAACACGACUUUGCAUUCAAAGCUCCAAAUUACAUUCAUGAAUGGCACUUUGAACAAAGGAAAGAAAAGUUAACUUUUUGCAUUUUAAUUCCUUUGGAAUAUGGUUACCAUCUAUGUUCAGUUUUGUUUCCAUUUAACAUUAUUUUAUCUACAAAAUAAAAUUAUAUAAUCCAAAUAUUUGAUUUUGAUUAGUCAAAAUAGAACCUUUGACAAAAUAAAAUUUUAUAAAUGAUUAGUAUAUUUCUUUUGUUUUCAUAAUAAUUUUUGAGAAAAUAUAAUUUUAGGUUCAGUGUUAAUUUCUAUUAUUUAA